This 47121-nucleotide long non-coding RNA is filed under the name Populus tremula. RNAcentral's name for it is "long non-coding RNA (PTRE_LNC003270)". Lineage: Eukaryota; Viridiplantae; Streptophyta; Magnoliopsida; Malpighiales; Salicaceae. The record is from RNAcentral.
GGAGACGCUCUCCCCUUUGGAGAUGAAACAACAGCUGCCUGUUGGAAGUGAUGACAUAGCCAGAAGAUUGCUUAACUGCAAUUCCAUUCUGAGGUUUGGUGUUCAAAGAAAAGAAUGAUUAUCACACGGAAAUUCCUGCUGUAUUUUCCUUCAGUCUCCUCUCAGCUGCUAGAGCAGCAGCCACGGAUGGGGGCAGAUGUCUUAGGUUUUCAGUUGGCUUUCCAUCACUUUCUGGCACAGUGGACGGCACUGUUGCGAAUAGGGACUCAACAUCCUUAAGGGUUAACACAGGCUGAUCCUGAUUCUUCGUGUUCCCACUAAUGAAUGAACUGGUGCUUCUACUUCUGUUCAGUUUAUAUAUGCUCUCUUCCACGGUGUCUUUAACCUAAUAACAUCAUAGAAGAAAAGGGAGAAAUUUUUGUUAGAACACAUAGAGACUAUAAAGCAGAAAUUCUAACAGAUGACAUGAAUUUUCAAAGUUUCGGACAACAAGCAAACUAGAAAGCACGAGAGGUCUUUGUAAACGCUAGUCCUUAAAGAGUUCCUGCAUGCUCCUUGUCGCACGUCAAAAAAUCCCGCGCGUGGUAUCGGCUAGCGAUUUUUUUCUCGUUGUUGUGUUUGCUUGAAUUUGGUUCGUUGGAGUCGCCACCUAGUAAUUGAUUGAGGGCUACUAGGAAACCCGAUGUACUGGUCUUGUCAGAGAUCGCAAGUAAGGGAUUGGUUGUGGUUAGGGAAGAUAUUAACACCCCUAACGCACCCUACCUGAGAUAAGCUGCUUUGUGUUCUGAUAUGAUAUGAAAAUUAUUAUUAUUUUCAAACAUGAACUACUUAGAUACAUACUCUGUAAAAAUUAAUUGUUUUUUUUUAUACAAAAUAUUUUAUCCUCUAUAAUGACGUGAGACACUUGGAAUUUCAAGUUCACCUAUAAUUUCCAUAUUUUCCUCUGAAAAGAUAAUGGAAAAGUGUAUGUGAUGAGAGUCUCACCAAUUUUCCCACUUAAUAGAGAUAUAUAAUGGGAACAGAAAAAUGAGGUUCCUAUCCAUCCAUUUUUAUGAAGUUCCUAUCAAUCCACGGGAACAGAUUAUAAUUUUAUUUUUAUAAAAAAAAUAUUUAAAUUAUUCUAUCUUACUUUUAAGUAUCUUAAAUAAAAAUAUUAAUAAAUUUUUUUUUUAUUUCUUAUAAAAAAAAUAUUUAAAUUACACUUGAAGUAUCCCCAAUAUUUUUUUUAAUAAAUAUUUCCUAAUUAUUAUAAAAACAAAUUAAAACUAUCCUUGAAUAAUCCUAAACAUAAAUUCUAAUUAAUUUUUUUUAUUUGUUAUAAAACAAAUAUUUCAACUAUUCUUAAAGUAUUCUAAACAGAAAUGUUAAUUAGUUUUUUAUAUAAAAAAACAUUUAAACUACAUUUGAAAUAUCCUAAAUAAUUUUUUUAUAAUAUUUGUCUAUUUUUUAUAAAACAAAUUAAAUUAUCCUUAAAGUUUUCUAAAUAGAAAUUCAAAUUAAUAUUUUUUAUAAUUGUUUUUAUUUAUUAUAUAAAAAAAAUUUAAACUACUCUUGAAGCUAAGCCAAAAUGCUAAUUAUUUUUUUUAAUAUUUUUUAUAUAAAACAUUAAAUUAUUCUUAAAGUAUCCUAAACAAAAAUAUUAAUUAAUUUUUUAUGACACAUAUUUGUUAUGGUACUUUACCUUGAUGCGAACACAUUUUCUUCCCCUUUUAAUUUUUAUAUUUGGUUUUCUAAUUUAUAGCAUUCUAAAACAAUAACAUAACUUUAACUAUAUUUAUAUGUUAUUGGUUUGCUUUUUAUAUUAUUACCGUGUAUGAACCUAAUAAAUUAAUCAAAAUCAUGAUAUCACGUGUUAGGAUCUGUUUUGGAGUAUACUUGAUGUUGUUUUUUAAAAUAUGUUUUAUUUAAAAAUAUAUUAAAAUAAUAUUUUUUUAAUUUUUAAAAAUUAUUUUUAUAUUAGUGUAUCAAAAUGAUAUGAAAAUACCUAAAAAAAUUUUAAUUUAAAAUAAAUAUAAAAAUAUAAAAAUUUACAAAAACAAAUAGCUAUUCUAGAAAUUCUAAUUAUUAUUUUUUUUAUAAAUUAUUUUUAUUUUACAUAAAAAACAUUUACACUAUUUUUCAAAUAUUCUAAAGAGAAAUUCUGAUUAUUUGUUUUUUGGAUUCCGGUGAUGACUAGCCUCCUCCUCCUCCUACUCCAGUACCGUCUUUAUUUUAGAUUUAAUAUUUUUGAAUGUAUUUUUUAUAUUAAUUUUAGAUUUGAUUUGAUUUAUAUUAUUUGAUUUAUUUCUUUAUUUUUAUUCAAUGUAUUUUUUUAAAACAAUAACAUUGAACGGUAUUAUUGGAGCUUCAAUCCUGCUCAUCAUGGUUGAAUGGUAGCCUUUAUCGAUAGUCUAUGUCUCCUUGUAUUGGGAAUGAGGGCAAAUACAUAUCACAAUUAGCUCUGAAUAUUAAUGGGUUUGGAGCAGUCAGCUGUCUAUGUUUUUUAUUUGUUUUUUUAAUUAAAUAAUAAUAAUAAUAAUAAUAAUAAUAAAGAGAAGGCUACUAAAACGUUGAUGUCUUCUUCUUUCUUCUUUUGAUAAGAAUAUAGUUAGUAACGAGAAAAUGAAGGAAAACAGAAGCCGAAGAAUUAAAGAAUAUUGUUGGUGUUUAUGCUCCUUGUUCUAUGUCAGAAAAAAAGAAUCUUUGGAAGAACUUGUGUAUCCUUAGACAUGCCUUCCUUAUUCCGUGGUUGAUGGUGGGAGAUUUUAAUGAGACUUUGAAUCAGAUUGAUAGAAGCAGUGGCUAUCUUCAUAUCAAGGGCUCUUCAGCUUUUAGGAAUUUUCUGGAUUCUUGUCACCUUAUUGAGUAUCAACUGGCUGGAGGUUACUUCACUUGGUUCAGGAAUUGCUUGAUGAGCAAACUAGACCGUGCUUUCUCAAAUGAAUCCUUUCUUCUACAAUUCUCAAAUGUAAUGCUCCAUUGAUUACCUAGAGAAAUGUCAGACCAUUCCCCUUGCUUGUGUCUGAUUCCCUCCUAGAGAGCGGUUAUCGGCCUUUUAAAUUUUUGGACUGUUGGCUUCAAUUUCCUAACUUCAAAAAUAUUAUUAGAGGCUUUUGGUUUGACGAGUGUACAGCAUUCCCAGGACGUUUCAGAUUUAUUAAGAAGCUUAGCUUUGUAGCAGCUCAACUUCGGCGAUGGAACAAAGAUGAUUUUGGUGAUCAGGAGUACAAGCUUCAGGUUGUGAUUUCCCAAAUUGAUGAUCUAGAGAGAAAACAGGAGGUUGAUCCUCUAUGUCCCUCAGAUCACCUCAAGCUUGAAUCUCUUAUAAAGGAUAAAUGGACCUACAGUAAUAGAGUUGAAUGCAAGUGGAAGCAGAGAUCUAGACAGUUAUGGUGCAAGCUAGGGGAUCGUAAUACCAGGUUUUUCCAUUUGAUAGCUAACUUCAGAAGAGCUAAAUCUCAUAUUAUGAUGAUCAAUCAUAAGGGGGCUAAACUCCGGUCAUUACCAGAAAUCAAAUCUAAAUUCAAAGUUGUCUCUUUGGCUAGAGCGAGAUGUGACAUUGGAUGAAAUUAAAAGAUGUGUGUGGGAUUGUGAUGGUUCUAAGAGUCCUGGUCCAGACGGUUUCAAUUUUAAAUUCUAUAAGCUCGCUUGGGAUUUUAUUGCAGAAGACUUAUUGGACCUGAUCACUGAAUUUUUUAGAACAGGGUCUAUGCCGAAAGGGGUUAACCUCUCCUAUAUCACUUUGGUGCCGAAAAGAAAGGUUACUAUGGAAUUCAAAGAGUAUCGCCCCAUUAGUUUGAUCUAUGGUAUUUACAAGAUUAUUGCGAAGAUUUUGUCCAGCAGAUUAAAGGAAGUAAUAGGCAGCUUGAUUAGUGACAAUCAGACUGCUUUUAUAGCAGACAGACAAAUUGUUGAUGGUUUUAUGGUAGCUAAUGAAGUGGUUUAUGAUCUAAAAAGAAGUCGAAGAUCGGGUCUCAUCUUCAAGGUUGAUUUCCAAAAAGCUUUUGAUCCAGUUCUAUGGGAUUACAUUGAUGAGGUGAUGACUUACAUGGGUUUUGGUGCUAAAUGGAGAGGGUGGAUUUCCUCCUGCUUGUCUACUAGUCAGGUUUCAGUCUUAGUCAAUGGCUCUCCUUCCCUAGAGUUCAAAGUGGGGCGAGGUAUUAGGCAAGGUGAUCCCCUAUCUCCCUUUCUUUUUAAUAUUGCUGCUGAAGGUCUAUCUGUUCUCUUCCAACGUGCGGCAUCCUCAGACAUCUUUCAGGGUAUUGAUUUUGGCUCCAAUAACUUCUUAAGUCAUCUUCAAUAUGCAGAUGACACUCUUGUCUUUAUGCCAGCUAGUUUGCAUGCCCUCCAGUCAGUUAAAAGAGUCUUAAGGUGGUUUGCUCUAUGCUCAGGCUUGCACAUUAAUUUUUUUAAGAGUUCUCUUAUAGGAAUCAAUGUUGAUGACUCCUGCUUGGAUGAGUUUGCAAAAUCAGUUUACUGCAGGCAUGAUUCUCUUCCAUGUAAUUACCUGGGAAUGCCUUUGGGGUCUAACCCUAGAAGGAUUUCAACAUGGAAACCCGUCAUUGAUAAGUUUCGAAAGAAACUCACUUCGUGGAAAGGGAGAAUGUUAAGCAUGGCCGGUCGCAUUUGCCUUAUCAAAAGUGUGUUGAACUCCCUUCCUUUGUACUUCAUGUCCAUCUUCCUUAUGCCAAAAGGUGUGUGUCGCUUACUUACUUCCAUCCAACGCAAAUUCUUAUGGUCGGGAACUGUCAAAAUGAGAAAAAUUUGCAAAGUCCAAUGGAGCGUGGUUGUUAGAGAUAAGGAUAGGGGUGGCCUUGGGAUUGGGUCAUUGAUAGCCAAGAAUAAAGCAAUGCUUUUCAAGUGGAUUUGGAGGCUCUCUCUUCCUGGUAAUGAGCUGUGGAAGAAGAUGAUAUUCAACAAAUUCAAGCCGGUGUUUGAAAAUGGUUUCCCUAUUUUUAGUAGAAGAUUGUCUUGUAUCUGGAGGGAUAUAACAUCCCUUAUGACCUCAACAGACUCUGUCUCUUCAGCUUUAGCCAAUAAUUGCAGAUUUGUAGUGGGAAAUGGCUCUCUGACUCGAUUCUGGUCUGAUGUUUGGUUUGAUAGCUCUCCAUUGAAAGUCAUCUACCCACGACUCUACAUUCUUACCACUAAACCGAAUGCCACAAUUGCUGACAUGGGAAUUUGGGAGCAAGGAGAAUGGAAGUGGGAGUUAGCUUGGAGGAGACAAUUGUUCCUCUUUGAAACUGAGCAGGUCGUCUACCUUCUCUCAUCUCUAGAAAGCUUUCGAAUAAAGGCAACAACUUUAGAUAAAAAAGUCUGGUCCUCUUCAACAGAUGGAGGGUAUACAGUUAAAACUUGUUCUUUACUUAUUGACAGGAUUGUGAAUCCAGGGCUUAGAACUUUCAAGGCUUCGAUAUGGCAAAAAGGGGUCCCUCCUAAGGUUCAAUCUUUUCUUUGGCUAGCUGUUCAGAAUAGACUGUGCACUAAGGAUUUCUUACUUUGCCGUAAUAUAAUCCCAGUUGAUCAAGCCUUUCGUAUCUUUUGUGAAAAUGAGAUUGAGACUUCAAAUCAUCUUCUCCUCCAUUGUAGACCAGUGUGGAAAUUAUGGAUGAAAUUCUUGGAUUGGUGGGGUAUUAGUGGUUGCCUUCCCUGCUGUGUGGAUGAUCUUUUACAUCAAUGGCCCAACCUAGUGUUCGGAAAAUUCCAGCGUAAGGCUUGGUCUAUGCUUUCUUGUUGUGUUAGCUGGAGUAUAUGGCUUAUGAGGAACAAGGUAAUCUUCAAUGAUGGAACUGCGACCUUCGAAGAUAUUUUCUCCUUAAUUCUUUAUCGCCUCUCAAAUUGGCUCAAGUCUGCAGAUAAGUUCUUCAUGGCUAUGACAUUACUUUAAUUAUGGGACCUGAAGGUAUUAUAGAUUGGUCUAACACCAAAUAAAGGCUUUUAGCAUGGCGUAUCAGCUUCUUCAUUCCUAAUGUCCUUUUUCGGUUAUGUAUCUGUUGACUUUUUUUUCCUUUCUUUUUGUGUUUGUUUUUUGUUAUUGUGAUUCUUUUUUUUUUUUUAUGUAUCUUGUUUUUGGCUAUUUUUUGAUUAGCCCUUUUAAUAUAUCGACUUAUUCCAAAAGAAAAAUAAAAAUGAAAUCGAUGAGGAAAAAAAGGAGAGGGAGAGAGGGAGAUGGGGUGCUUCUGGGCGGGAAGCGUGAAAAGAAGGAAAGAAAUAAGUAAUUAAUUGAAAAGAUAUUGUACUUGUUGAAGGACGAAAGUGCCCUUCAAGUUAAGACAAGGAAAAGAAGGUAGCUGGGAGAGAGCCAGGUGGCGAUCAUGAGAGGAGAAGGGUGACACGUGGUUGUGACUGGCACAAAGCUCUUCCUUUUUACUGAUUAUUUAAUUAACUCGUUGUCUUCUUGAGGUCCGUGUUGAACGAACCUAAAAAACAAGAUGCCUUUCUAAUUCUAGAGCAGAAGACACGUUUCGAGAUGUAACAAACGCUAGAAAAAGUGUCCAUGUGUUUGUCAGUUUAGGUGUGUGGGAGUUCGACACGUGGAUAGGAAGCAAGUUGCAUGAGGAGUACUUAUUACUCGUGAAAGAUGCGGCUAUCUUUUAUCUUGCUACCUGUGGGGUGAAUACUUUUUUAAAAAAAUAUUUUUAUUUUAAAAUAUAUUGUUAUAAUUUUUUAUUAUUUUUAAUAUUAUAAUUUUAAAAACAAUAAAAAAUAUUAAUUUAAUACUUUUUAGUAAUAUUCUACUAAAAUAACUUGGAGUUACUUUAUUUUUGUAUUUUAAAAGUAUUUUAAAAAGUAUUUAUAUAUUAUAUAUUUUUAUUUUUAUUAAUUUUUUUAUAUGUUUUUAGAUUGUUUUGAUAUAGUAAUAUUAAAAUAUAUCUUUAAAAAAUAAUAAUAAAAAUAUUUUAAUAUAUUUCUAAAUAAAAAAUAUUUUAAAAAUUAACUACAAAUAUCAAAAGAGUUUAAAUAUCAAGAGAGUUCCAACUCAACACUUAUCCCAGUUAUGCAAAGGAUAAAAAGAAAAGCAUUAGACUAGGUUUUCUUAAGUUCCACAAGGAAUAAGAGGGAUACUGUCGUUCAAUAAAUAAAAAUAACGAGGGAUCAUUUGAUUUGCCUUUCUAUCUUUCUGAUAGUCUUUUAAGUUGUGCAAUGCAUUGUAAUUAAACAGGGGUGUUCAUUUAUUCCGAAGUUAGACAGAGGUUAAAUCAAAAUCAAUUUAAAUAAGUUAAGAUAAUUGCUUUAAUUGAUGCAUGGUAAAUAUAAUAUAUCCAUCAAUGUUAAUUUUACAUGUAUAAUAUUUAUAUUGUUUGAAUCCAAUAUAUAUGUAUACACACCCUUGACAUUUAUAUGACACGUAUAAUUUCUAUAUUCAAUAUAUUAUUCUUUUAUUUUAUGUUAAAUUAUAAAUAAUACUUGAUUUAUAAAAUAUAUAAAAAAAAUAUUGAGCAGGAAAUAUUGAAUAAGAUAUGAGUAUAGUACAAACUUUGAUAUAUAAAUACCUACCACUAAUAAAUAAAUUCAUUUGUUUAUGUGCAGCGUGAAGAAGAACUAGAGUGGAUCUUGACAAGUGUUGACGUUUAAAACUAGAGAUAUUACACGCUUGACCUUAUCUAAACACAAACAGAUUGGUUGCAUUGUUUGCUGUUUUUUUUUUUUUAUUAUUAUUUGAAAAGAUGAGAUCAGUUUCAUUUGAGUUUGUAACUAUUCCUCUCAAGAAGUGCACUUUAACUGCACACAGCUCAGAUGCAUUAUGAAUCUACAUUUAUAUUUUUCCUGAAAAAAAAGAUAUUUAUUUUAAAUUCCUCUCAACAAUUAUCACAACGGGUGUAUGAGUUAAUUUAGGUAUAUUUUAAUUAAUUUUAUAAAUUAAUAAUCAUACAAAAUGCAAACGGUUAGUAAUUUGUUGAAAUUUAUAGAACCCAAACUUGUAACUUAAAAAAGAAGAAGUAAAAUCUGAUGAGGGAAGUUACACCACCAUGUAGAGAGAUUCUUUUAGACCCUGAUUUUUCCUUCUCUUCAUGCCUCUCUCCUAGAAGUCCUAAGAAAUACAUAGGUAUUAUUGAAGCUUCAAUUCUUUUUAAUUUUUAUUUAAAAAAUAUUUUUAUUUUUUAUAUUAAUUUAAUUAAUUUAUUUUACAUUUUAUUUGAUUUAAUAUAUUUGAUUUAUUUUUCUACUUUUAUUCAAAGUAUUUUUUUUAAAAUACAUUGAAUGGUAUUAUUGAAGCUUCAAUCCUGCCCAUCAUGGUUGAAUGGUAGCCUUUAUCGAUAGUCUAUGUCUCCUUGUAUUGGGUAUGAGGGCAAUUUUAUAUAAAAGAUUUCACAAUGAAAAUUUCACCAACCAAUAAACUGUUAUCGUGUUCUUUGGGUUUGAAUUUUCUAAUGAAAUGAUGGAAAUUCAUUGGAUGGUAGAGUGGGUCUUGCUGCUACCUUCUUACAGUUGAUUAUUUUGCCUACUGAAGCUCUUGUUUUUUUUUUAUUAUUGUUCUUUUAAUUGUUUGAGCGAUAACUUAAAAUUUCAUUCGUAGCAUUGAUCUUCAAUUUAAAAUCAAAAUAUUCUCAAACCAAAGAAAAACAAAUUCUAACGCAUAAAAUAGUGCCGACAUAAUUUGAAAGAAAAAAAGUUUGAAGAUGAAAUUCAUAUUACAAAAAAUUAUUGUUCCAAUUGAUAAUCGAAUACAAGUAGCUAGCUAUACACUAUGAGAAGAGAUCUCCCAAACUUAUUGUGCAAAACGCCUUGGGCAGUGGAGGGCACUUAGCUGUAAGCUCGAAAGAAAUUUUUUCCAUUGUAGGCCGAGAUUGGGGAUUGGGAUGCAAGCAUGCAAGUGCAAUUUUUAUCAUGUGGACAACCCCCUCUGCUGCUUUUUCAGGAAGCGAUAUGCGGUGGUCUAACACAUCCUUCAAUGGUGUAUGUUGAGCAAUCGGUGGCAUCGACGAUGAUGACGAAGAUCCUGGUGAUAAGAGUGCUGAAAUGAGAUCGCCUGGGUGCCUUCCUGUCAUCACCUCCAUUGUUACCACUCCGAAGCUAUAGACAUCGCAUUUUUCAGUCACCUUCAUUGUGUAAGCUAGCUCUACAAAAAAAAAAAAAAAAACUGAUUAUGCAUGGUUUUUUAUCAAAUAGUUGAAAGAAAAUACUUUAUAAUAAAAGCUAAAAAAACACUAUAUUAUCUUCACUAUUACACAUUAGUAACUUGAUGUUGAAAUAAAACUACGCACCUGGAGCAGUAUAUCCAAAAGUACCUGCAAAUGAGGUCCAAUUGGAUGAGUCAGGCAUCAACAGUCUAGCGGUGCCAAAGUCGGAGACGUGUGCUUCAUAUUCCAAGUCCAGAAGGAUAUUAUUCCUGGUAAUGUCUCGAUGAAUGAUCGGAGGAGAGCAAGAAUGGUGUAGAUAGGAUAAAGCUCCACCCAUCCCUUUCACAACGUUUAGCCUUCUCAUCCAAUCGAACUCAAUUGCUUGUUCCUCACUGGUUAUAAUCUUUCUCAAGCUUCCUCUUUCAAUGAACUCAUAAACCAAAAAAGAAUGCUUUGCAUGUGAGCAAAAUCCAUACAUUUUCACAAUAUUUCGAUGUCGAAUAUUUGCCAACACACAAACUUCCUUUUCAAAAGCUUUAAAAUCGGACAACUUUUCUGUUUGUGAUCGGUGAAGUUUCUUCACAGCAACCACCUGUUCUGUUGGCAUCACUGCUUUAUAAACAGUUCCAUAUCCUCCUUCGCCAAUGCAGUAGUUGGAGUUGAAUUCCUCUGUAGCUUCAAUGAUGUUCUCAUACAACUUCUUCCCAUUGUCGCACCCCAAAAAAAUCAGCGCGCGGCAUCGGCUGGCGAUUUUUCGUCUUGUUGUUGUUUGCUUGAAUUUGGUUCGUUGGAGUCGCCACCUAGUAAUUUAUUGAAGGCUACUAGAAAACCGGAUGGACUGGUCUUGUCAGAGAUUCGCGGGUAAGGGACUGGUUGUGAUUAGGAAAGGUAUUAGCACCCCUAACACACCCUACCUGAGGUAAGCUGCUUCGCGCAUUUGAUGUGUUAAAGAAGUUUUAAUAAUUGUCUUUUCGUCGGAAAUUAGAAAUAUCACUUACGUAUAAGUUAAUAAUUCUUAACCGUGAUCCGAUCAAAAUAUUAAAUUCUUCUUUAAUAUAUUUUCAAUUUCAUCCUAAAAUAUAUAUAUAUAUAUAUAUAUAUAUAUAUAUAUAUAUACACAAAUAAAUAAAACAAAAUACACACACACAUUCACUAUUUUCAUUUCUUUUUUUUUCUUUUCUCUUUUCUUUUCUUUUACAUCCACAAUACAAAUACAAAUACAAAUAAAAAUUCAAAUUCAAAAUAAAUAAAUAAAAAUACACCAACACACACAUCCCCUUUUUUAUUAUUAUUUUCUUUUCUUUUCUUUUACAUUCACAUAUUACAAAUUUAAAAUAAAUAAACAAAAAUUACAUUAAAACUUUAAAAUUUACAAAAUGGUCCCUCAAAACUCUCGAAUUUGCACAGAAGGACUUCUGGGGAUGCAUGAACAGUUCCGGCGCGUUUUCCCACGCGCCGCCGGGAGAAAAAACAGGGAAAUCAGUCACGGCUUCCUCUCUUCUUCCCCUCCUCACCGGCGAUGAUGCUGUGACCUGAAAGAUAACAAAAAAACGCAACAAAACACAAUCAAUCCUCUUCUUCUUAGAUCUGUUUAGAUCUGCUCCUCUUUCCUCCUUCCUCAAUCGCAGAUCUGUUGAGGAGUGUUAGGUGGCUCGCCGGGAAGCUUUUUUUCUGCCCGUUGCUCCUGUCUCCUUCCCCGGUGGCAGAUCGGGCGGCGACGCUGUCGUUCGUGGGCACCGUUGAAGGCUGUCGUUCGGGUGGUUGCUGCUGGUGAAGAUGGGAGCCGCUGUUGAAGGAGGCUGAUCUGCUGUGUCGGCCAGAUGAGGGAGAGAAGGACGGCGCUGCUGCUGCCACCGCUGAGGACGGCUGGUCUGGGAGGAUCGACCGAAAGGGAGAGAGGUCUGGUGGAAAGGAACGGUUCGGUUUUGUUGGUGGCGAAGCUGUGAUUGAUUUAUGAGGGGAACGGUGAUAAGGGAGGAGCAGUUUUGGCCGACGAUGGGGCUGUAAAGGGGGGGAGUCUCCGGCUGGAGGUUGAAGAUCAGAGGAAAGGGGGAUGCGCCGCUCCUUUUGUUCUCUGGUUUUGGGUGAGUCGGGUGAAGGAGAGAACCGGCGUGGAGAAAAUGUGGGGAUCUGAAAAUGGUGGGGGGUCCUUGGCUCUCUGGUUCUGGUAGAGCCAAAAUCCAAGGACCCCGGGGAACAAAAUAAUUCAAAAUCAGUGGGGGGAAGGCGCCGCCGGCCAGUUGUUUUGAGUGGAUAGAAAAAGUUGGGCUUUAGGGUUCUUGUGUUUUUUUUCAAUAUCCCCAAAUUAACCCCCCCCGGUAAAAAUCAGUUUAGCAUGGUAUUUAUAGGCAAAAAUAUUGCUAGGUUUUUCGACUUGGUCCCUCAACUUCUUUCUUUUUGUAAAUUUUGAUUUUUCUUAUUUUUUUGUAUUUUUUGAAAACGAGCAAUAUCAACGUCGACUCAAAAUGCGGAAAAUCAAUGAUUUUAAAAAUGACGCGUGAAAAGUCGAACGCGUUUGAAAAUAUUUUAACAAUUUAAAUUCUUUUUUAGACGCCGUUGAAAAUGCUAAAAUGACGAAAAUAUAUUAAAAAAAUAUUUUUUGGAUUUUCUUUGUUUUUCUCAAUUUUUUUGGAUUUUUUGAAAAUAUAUCAAAAACAUCGGUCAAAAAUUGGGUAGCAACAGAUGCCCCCUCUUUACAAUGCUUACGAAGCGAAAAUCCUCAAAAUUUUGCAUAGUAAGCUUUGUAAAGAAAACAAAAGGAAGAUGAUUUCAUUAUCUUGGGCGACCUGCCCACACACUCACACUGAUCUAUUUUCACGGGUGACCUGCCCACGCAUACUCACUCUGGUCUAUUUUCACGGGCGACCUACCCACACGUACUCACUCAAGUCUAUUUUCACGGGCGACCUGCCCACACAUACUCACUCAAGUCUAUUUUCACGGGCGACCGACCCACACUCUCCCAAUAGUCUAUUUUCACGGGCGACCUGCCCACACAUUGGGUUUACCUGAGAUCCCAUCUAGCGACCUCAUUCAACUGGAACGAAAAUAUGUGUAACUCGGUUAACCUGAAAUCCCAUCUGGCGAUUCCCUUUAACCAAAGUUACAUGAGAUCCCAUCUGGCGACCUCAUUCUGGUCUCAUUGUAUGGGUGACUAACCCUCGAAAAAUGCUGGUCUCAUUGUACGGGUGACGAACCCUAGUGCUGCUGGUCUCAUUGUACGGGUGACGAACCCUAGUGCUGGUCUCAUUGUACGGGUGACGAACCCUAGAAAAAUGCUGGUCUCAUUGUACGGGUGACGAACCCUAGAAAUAUGAUGGUCUCAUUGUAUGGGUGACGAACCCAAAAAAAAUGAUGGUCUCAUUGUAUGGGUGACGAACCCUGGAAAAAUGAUGGUCUCAUUGUAUGGGUGACCUACCCAGAUGGAAAAAAUGUGAAGUGCGGUCUCAUUGUAAUGGGUGACUUACCCAUGUGGAAAAAAUAUGAAGUGUGGUCUCAUUGUAAUGGGUGACCUACCCAGUGGAAAAAAUAUGAAGUGGGUCUCAUUGUAUGGGUGACCUACCCAAUGGAAAAAAUAUGAUGAAGUGCGGUCUCAUUGUAUGGGUGACCUACCCGAUGGAAAAAUGUGGAAAAUGGUCUCAUUGUAUGGGCGACCUACCCAAUGGAAAAAAUGUGAAACGGUCUUAUUAUGAUGGGCGACCUACCCAGAUGGAAAAAAUGAUAUGACAAGUGUGAAAAAUAGGACUUACCUGGCGAAGUUCUGAAGGGAUGACAGAAGAAAGGGCUGGAAACUUGGUGCUUCCUGAUAAUUCCCGAUCAUGGGGUUUGAAAACUCGGUGUUUCCUGACUGCAAGGGUUGAAAACUCGAGGCUUCCCGGUUGCAAGGUUGAUCUAUUCAUUUCUUUGGGAUUUUUAAUGGUAGGGUUCAUCCCAUCGUCCUUUUAUUCCAUGAUCAAAACCGAUUCUUUAUUAUCAUCACCACAAUGCUUCUUUCUCUUUCCACCAUCUUGCUGGACCUCAUUAAGGAUUUUCCUGUAACAAUUCAAAAAUAUGUGCAAAUGGUUUUUUUUUUUUUUUUUUUUUUUUUGAGGUUAGAUGAUAUGCAUGCAUCCUUACCUGAUUUGAAAUAAUAGGUCCCCCCUCUUUGAUGCUCCAUCGUCAUAGGGUGCCCUUGUUUGUAUCCCAAAGCUUUCUUUGUUCUUCCGAUGUAUUGGCUCAUUCAUGUGUUAGCCAUCCACUCAGCUGUAAAUGCAGUGCCCAUCCCGGGCUGUCUUCGACAAUUACUGCUUGCAUCGUUCAUGAAGCUUGACCCUGCCCCCAAGUGUGGUACUGCUUGAUUCAUCAUGAAGAUUUUCUCUCCUGGCUUCUUCUGAGAAUUAUCCUCUGAUUGAUUGUGUGCAUCAUGCCAACACCCAUCAAGAUUGUUAAUCAGUCAUGAACUUGCCUCUAGUUGAAACAGUACUCUUCAAGUACAUGUUAUCAUCAGCCUCCUUGGAACUCAAUCAGUCAUCUAGACAUGCAUCUCAUAGCUUGCAGUACAAAGGCUCAUGGUUGUAUGCUCAGUGCUCUUCUCAUAGAUUCCUUUCAACUCUUCUAAUCAGAUUGUGAAAAGAAAUGUCUCAGCCUCAUCAAUGAUGCUGCUUUUAUCACCAUACUCAUGCGGUGAAGCGCUCAUCUGGCUUCAGAACAAGUUGUCCCACAAUCAGUCUUCGAGGUGGGUUCCUUUCCGACAUUCAUUCAGUGCAGUUGUGUGAUAACAUCUCUCUAACCAUGUUUCAAAGAAUGACAAUAUGAGAUUGUCCUUUAAGUGCAGCAUUGUUCCACAGUCAGUCUUGGUGGUGUGCAUCUUUUCACCAUUCAAUUACAUUCAUCUGUGUAUCUCAUCGAUUGCUAGCCAUGUUUCAAAAUGAUGAUAUGAAAGUGUCCUUCAGUACAUCUUUGUUUCUCCAUUGCCGACAGGGUUCACUAAGCAUGGGCCAUUUUGGAAUGACAAUGCCCCCGUAUGAUCUGAAUGUGCUCGUUCAUUGAUUAUCUUCUUUGAACAUCAUUGUCUUCAGUUCACUGAUUCAUCAUUUAAUCAUUGCCUCAUAGCUGAUCUGAGCACUGCUUGUUUUUUCUUUUCAAGGUCUACUGUAUUGCCCCCAGUGCUCAACUUUUCAAGGAGUGUCGAGGACUUCAAUGUCAGUUUCUAUCAAGAUUUUGCAUACUCAAUCAAUGUUCUUUUGUGUUUGAUAAUCUUCCUUGUUCUGGAAUCAACUCUCAUAUUUCAAAGAUCAUGUCUAUUCAAAGUCUAGUUUGUUGAAAUGAAAUCAGAGAUGUCCUUUUUUGAAAAUCUUUUGAAAAUCAAGCUUUUUGAUCAAAGACCCAACACACGUUAUUCGAAAUAUAUAGUCCUUUGAUUGUCAUGCAUUUUGAAAACAGAAAUUGACCCAAUGUAGGAUUAAAAAUGGCUUUUUCCAUGGUUCUUUGUAUCAAUUUGAAUCCUUGAUAUUGGGUAUAUCAUUUGAUAGUUUAUGAUGAGGUGAUUUUUUGAAUUUCAAAACAAGAUGCUCAGGCUUUAUCAAGAAAGGUUGUUUCUUUUCUUAUAUUUAUUUUAUCAGCAUGCAUAAUAACCAGUAGCCUAAUUCAAUGAAGCCACGACUCUUAUAGAAAAACUCUUCAAGUUUUGAGAUCGCCAUUUAUUGGUUCAGAUUGCUUGCUUGAUUAAAAAGGGCUUUUAAAAGCACGUAAUGCAGGCUAUGGUUCAUGGCUAUGAAAGAAAGGAAUUCCAUAGGCUCAAAAGGUGUUUGAGGGUUUCAACGACCUAGGACCAACAUUAACUAUUCAUCGAUUCUCUUUCUCUUGUCGUCAUUGUAGCGAGAGUGACAUAUAACCUUGUUAAUCUUCAAAUAUCAGAAUUCUCUUAACAUAGGUCAUAAUGCAAAUCCAACUUUUUCUUUGAUGAAUAAACUAAUCUAAUUAUUUUUGAAGACAUUAGAGGCUCUAUCCAAGACACACCAAAAGAUAUGAAGCAUCGAUUUUUCUAGUGUUGACUUUUGGCAUUUGCUGUCUUUUCUCAAUUGAAAACUGUCUUGCCUCUCUUAGAAUUGAUAGGCAUUUUCUUUCCUUUCCAUUUUUUUUAGCCUUCCUCAAAGUUUUUCUUGGAUGGCCCUCAAUCUAUGGAUUUUCUUCUGCUAGCCCUUUCUCAAACAUUGGACUUUUGUUCUAAGCUUUUCUUUGAUCCAUUGAUUUUAUUAGUGUCUCCAAAAUAUUUCUCAUUUGCCCCCAGUGUGGGGUGUGAUCCUAGUCAGGGUUUCCUUUUGAAAGAAAAUAUUCACCAGCUCAAAAUGGGACUACAAGGGAUAUAAUUUUUAGAAAGUGAAGAGAUAUCAAAGAUGGCCUUUUCUCAUUUCAAGCAAGGUCGGUUAGAACCGAUAAAUUUUGACCUCAUCUAGUAUAAUGAUUUGUACUUGCAAGAAUCAUGAUUCACGAGUCCAUAACUAUUGAAUCCACUAUAUGUCAUUAUGCAUACUGUUAAAACUUAGCUAUAUGAUGUGUGGUUUAGUUUCAAAAAGGUAUGAGUUCAAAAUUGUUUGGGUCACCUCAUGUCAUUUUCAAGCAUAGAGUCAUUUCUGUAAUCAAAACACUUCUAAUCUUCCGGAUUGAUUAACCUUUAUCGCAUGUUGGAGUUUGAUCAAAAUAUUUUGUCAGAAUAAAAUGCUAAACAUCUGUUGAUUUCAAAACAACAAAGAGACAAAAGCAAGGCAUGUUUCGUUGAAGGAUGAGAUGUGAUCCCAAAACAAAAUGCAGAAUUCCAUAACAAUAUGAUUGACUGUUCAUCACCCUUCUCGAAUCAGCUUUUCUGGCAAUAUCUGUGUUUUGCCAAGCAUUUUCGAUCACAUGUCAUUCUGAAGAUGUUCGGGGAACAAUAUAGCCAGUGACACCCUUCUUCAACGACUCCACCUGUCUCUUGCUCACCAACUUUCAGACUCCAUUCUUGCAAUUCUUGAAACUGUUCACUUGAAAUGGUUGAGGACCCCACCAUGACAUCACAUCUCUUAUCUGGAUUAUACCACUGAGAAAUUGGUGGUUGCAUGGGAAUUUGUCGGAGUCAAGCAAAAUUCUGGAAUCUUGCGGAUGCUGGUCGACAACUUAAACGGCAGAGCAAUGUCCCAUCUUGGCAAAGAUAUUUUGAGCAAUUGAUGAUGCCGUGAGACCUGGCUAUACCACAUAAUUAAGGGUUCACACUGUCAAAGUCAUCUCCUGAUUCACCUCUCAUCAUUGUUCUAGAAUCCAUGGCAGAUCCUUCAAUCUUCCAAUGUUGCUAUGGUUGGUUGAGGAUUGUUAGAAAACUUUCUAACAGCUUGGUAAUCUUGGCAGCAUCCAGAAACUUGUAGUAUCGCCACUACCGACGUGUGGAAUCACACAUUGUCUUUAUUGGAAGAGCACCUGAUGAAUCUAAAACUCCUUCGUCCCCUCUUCAAUUUCUCACUGACAGUGCAGCAAACAAACACCUAUAGAGGAAGUCCUGCUCUGUUGAAGUUUCAGUAUUCUUCAUGUUUUUCAGUCUAGGCAUGUAUCUUCUCUCUACUUUUGCAUUUUAAUACUGACACUGUUGGAGAAAAAUCAUAAAUGAUCUGAAACUACUGUAUUCCUUCUUGGAUUUCCACUUGCGGAUCCACAAACAGAUUCCUGUCGGGAGAGCUCUGCUACGUUGAAGUUUGAUGUCUGCUCAUAUUUUUCAAGCCAAGUCUGGCUCUUCAACCUGCUAUAGUUUCUUCGUGCUGAAACUGAUGAGAGAAAUAUUUGUAGCAUAUGCAAUUAGUAAAUCCCCUCUUGCAUUCCCAAUUUGCAGAGCCAUAAAUGGAUUUUUGUAGAGAGAGCUCUGCCACAUUGAAGUUUGACAACUACUAAUAUUAUCAGACCAGGUCUGACUCUUCUGCCUACUACAAUGUUUUGCUGGUGCCACUGGUGGGAAAAGUUUCAAAGCAUAUGAAACAUUCCCUUUUGCAUUUGCCAUUGACAGAUCCACAAAUAAAUCUCUACAGAGAGAGCUCUACCACGUGGAAGUUCAGUGUCUGAUCAUGGUCUUUUUCAUACCAACAUCUUGUGCUGCUGAACUGGAAUUGAGCUCAUAGUUGGGGUAACUUCAAAGCAGACUAAUGCACCAUGAACAGGAGGUUAGUAGUCGUUUGGUUCCAUUAGAUGAUGUGGAGGCGAUGAAUACUUAACAGCGCAACUGGACAGGAAUCAGAGUUGUCAUUAGUUGAUGACUGAAGGCGUUGUUGCUGUUGUUCAUGACUGAAAAGGAAAGGUACAGCUUCAAUUGGACGUGAACAAGCAGUGUUCCCACAGAAAACUGUGCAGACAUUCUCUUUUCAUUUGAUGCUCAACACUUGUUCGAGCAGAUCUGAGUCCCGCUACUUCACUCUUGAUGCUCUCAACCUUAAUCUGAUACUGAACCUAUAUCUGACUCCUUUGUUCACUUCCAUUAUUUUUCUUCAAUCUCGUGCAGCACAACUUGUACAAGGGACCUACGUUUCGACCCGGUUCAUGCAUGAUAAAUGUAUGAACAUGUAAUCUAUAUGAUGAACUCUCCCUUCGAGAGGUGACAAUAUGGUCGUAACUCUUGUAUGAUGGACAAGAAUCGUGAUUUUUGCCCAAACUCUACAAUGAAAAUUUUCGGAGCAACGGCCAAUGUGUCACCCACAAGUCUUGAGUUCAAGAUGCUUCAAGAAGGGUUUGCCCUUAUGCAAAAAACGAUAGCACAUACAACCUAAGGACAGGUUCUAUUCAUUAUGUGAACAUGGGUAAGUUUUCUAUCUGGUCUCAAAAGGGUCUCAUAUCUGCCCAGUGACGUUCUUCGUAAAGACAGUUUGGGGGCGUUGCAAGGAAUGGUUAAGGUACGUAUACCCACCAUUACCAAGCAGGCACUCAGAUAUGAGUUGGGUGUUUCACGCAUCUGAACCCUGACCAAUAGUCUUAGGGCAGAUCGCUAGUUCCCCACCUAACCUAGAAGCUUGUGUGUGCUUUUAAAAAUAAAUACAGGUGAUGCAUGAGACAAUUCUAUAAAAUGCAUGGAAAUAAAUAUUAACAAAAAGAUAAAAAUGCAAAAACUUAAACACAUCAAAUACACAAAGCUUAGUCCAAUACUCGAAAAAAUACCUUCCCCAGUGGAGUCGCCAUUCUGUCGCACCCCAAAAAAAUCAGCGCGCGGCAUCGGCUGGCGAUUUUUCGUCUUGUUGUUGUUUGCUUGAAUUUGGUUCGUUGGAGUCGCCACCUAGUAAUUGAUUGAAGGCUACUAGGAAACCGGAUGUACUGGUCUUGUCAGAGAUUCGCGGGUAAGGGACUGGUUGUGGUUAGGGAAGGUAUUAGCACCCCUAACGCACCCUACCUGAGGUAAGCUGCUUCGUGCUUUGACGUGUUAAAGAAGUUUUAAUAAUUGUCUUUUCUCGGAAAUUAGAAAUAUCACUUACGUAUAAGUUAAUAAUUCUUAACCGUGAUCCGAUCAAAAUAUUAAAUUCUUCUUUAAUAUAUUUCAAUUUCAUCAUUAAUAAAUAUAAAAAUAAAUAUAAACACAAAUAAAUAAAACAAAAUACACAACACACAUUCACUUUUUUCAUUUCUUUUUUUUUCUUUUCUCUUUUCUUUUCUUUUACAUCCACAAUACAAAUACAACAAAUAAAAUUCAAAUUCAAAAUAAAUAAAUAAAAAUACACCAACACACACAUCCCCUUUUUUAUUAUUAUUUUCUUUUCUUUUCUUUUACAUUCACAUAUUACAAAUUUAAAAUAAAUAAACAAAAAUUACAUUAAAACUUUAAAAUUUACAAAAUGGUCCCUCAAAACUCUCGAAUUUGCACAGAAGGACUUCUGGGGAUGCAUGAACAGUUCCGGCGCGUUUUCCCACGCGCCGCCGGGAGAAAAAACAGGGAAAUCAGUCACGGCUUCCUCUCUUCUUCCCCUCCUCACCGACGAUGAUGCUGUGACCUGAAAGAUAACAAAAAAACGCAACAAAACACAAUCAAUCCUCUUCUUCUUAGAUCUGUUUAGAUCUGCUCCUCUUUCCUCCUUCCUCAAUCGCAGAUCUGUUGAGGAGUGUUAGGUGGCUCGCCGGGAAGCUUUUUUUUCUGCCCGUUGCUCCUGUCUCCUUCCCCGGUGGCAGAUCGGGCGGCGACGCUGUCGUUCGUGGGCACCGUUGAAGGCUGUCGUUCGGGUGGUUGCUGCUGGUGAAGAUGGGAGCCGCUGUUGAAGGAGGCUGAUCUGCUGUGUCGGCCAGAUGAGGGAGAGAAGGACGGCGCUGCUGCUGCCACCGCUGAGGACGGCUGGUCUGGGAGGAUCGACCGAAAGGGAGAGAGGUCUGGUGGAAAGGAACGGUUCGGUUUUGUUGGUGGCGAAGCUGUGAUUGAUUUAUGAGGGGAACGGUGAUAAGGGAGGAGCAGUUUUGGCCGACGAUGGGGCUGUAAAAGGGGGGGGAGUCUCCGGCUGGAGGUUGAAGAUCAGAGGAAAGGGGGAUGCGCCGCUCCUUUUGUUCUCUGGUUUUGGGUGAGUCGGGUGAAGGAGAGAACCGGCGUGGAGAAAAUGUGGGGAUCUGAAAAUGGUGGGGGGGGGGGUCCUUGGCUCUCUGGUUCUGGUAGAGCCAAAAUCCAAGGACCCCAGGGAACAAAAUAAUUCAAAAUCAGUGGGGGGAAGGCGCCGCCGGCCAGUUGUUUUGAGUGGAUAGAAAAAGUUGGGCUUUAGGGUUCUUGUGUUUUUUUUCAAUAUCCCCAAAUUAACCCCCCCCGUUAAAAAUCAGUUUAGCAUGGUAUUUAUAGGCAAAAAUAUUGCUAGGUUUUUCGACUUGGUCCCUCAACUUCUUUCUUUUUGUAAAUUUUGAUUUUUCUUAUUUUUUUGUAUUUUUUGAAAACGAGCAAUAUCAACGUCGACUCAAAAUGCGGAAAAUCAAUGAUUUUAAAAAUGACGCGUGAAAAGUCGAACGCGUUUGAAAAUAUUUUAACAAUUUAAAUUCUUUUUUAGACGCCGUUGAAAAUGCUAAAAUGACGAAAAUAUAUUAAAAAAAUAUUUUUUGGAUUUUCUUUGUUUUUCUCAAUUUUUUUGGAUUUUUUGAAAAUAUAUCAAAAACAUCGGUCAAAAAUUGGGUAGCAACACCCAUCAUGGUCCAAUAUCGUGAAUAUGUUUCGAUCUUGUUCAUUUUCUGGCUCAGCGUUUCUCUUCCUAGCUCUUUUGCAGAGAAUGUAUAAAGCUCCAAACACUAAAAGCAAGCUUCCUAAAAGAGGGAGUACAAUCAAAAUCACAAGCUUGUUGCUCUUUCUCUUAACAGUUUUGCUGCUUUCUGGAAGAUUGCAUGGCUUGAGACCACUAGCGUUGCCACAUAUACCCAUAUUAUCCCUUAAUGCCUCAAAUGAAGCGUUGUGGAAGGCUUUGAUAUCGGGAAUGGGGCCUUGUAGCUUAUUGGAUGAUAUAUCCACAGUUGUUAAGCUUAACAUGUCUUUGAAAGUGCUCGGAAUCCGUCCAGAAAGCAUGUUGUGAGAGACAUUGAAAGUUUCCAACUUUUGCAGUUGCCCAAGUUGCCUUGGUAUCUUUCGAGUCAGGAAAUUGAAGCUAAGAUCAAGAUCUUGAAGAGAAAGUAGAAAGCCUAUCUCACCUGGAAUGCUUUCUCUAAAUUUAUUACCGCUGAGGUUUAGGAACAAUAAAUUCGAGCAUUCCCCAAGUUGUUUUGGAAUCAAUCCACUCAGAUUAUUAGAUGCUAAAUUAAGGAUUCGAAGAUUGAAAAGCAUCUUAAUAUCUAAGGGAAUGACACCUGAAAGAUGGUUGUUGUUAAGGAGAAGCUCAUACAACAACUUCAAACCCCCUAAAUCUUUUGGGAUGGCUCCUUUUAACUGAUUUGAUGACAGAUCAAUCAAGUGUAAUUGAGUAGCCUUCCCAAGCUCUGAUGUUAUCUCACCAGAAACAUUAUUGUUUGAGAUUUUAAGGCUUGUCAUGUUACGACAAUCUCCCCAUUUUGAAGAAAGCUCACCAUAAAAAUUAUUGUAACUCAAAUCAAUAUAAUCUAGAUGUGGAUAGACACCAAAAGCCUUAGAAAUAUUUUCUGUUAAUUGAUUCCAAUCAAGUCUUACUCGGUAUAAACCAGUACAGUUUUUCAAACUUUUCGGGAUUGAACCUGAGAAGUAGUUGUAGGAAGCAGUAAAGAUUUUCAAUACUCCUUCAUGGCAUAAAUCUAGUGGCAAAUCACCCGUGAAUUCGUUGGCACCCAAAGACAAUAACUUCAAAUGGGUGAGAUUGUUCAUCUCUGAGGGCAAUGGGCCGUGAAAUCUGUUCUCAUGUAAUGUCAAGUUCACAAGUGAUUUAAGUUGUCCUAUUUCUGAAGGAACACAUCCAGAUAAAUUAUUUUGACUUAGACUAAGCAAAGUUAAAUUUCUUAAUUUUCCAAUAGAAGAAGGGAUUCUACCAGUUAAAACAUUAAUUGACAAGCCAAGUUCAUUAAGAGACUCUAGCAACCCAAUUUCCUGAGGAAUGGGACCAGAGAGUUUGUUAUCCCAAAGAUAGAGUAUGGAUAGGCUUGUCAAGUUUCCAAUAAAAAAGGGGAUCAAAUCAGUGAGAUUAUUUUGCUGUAAUGAUAUUUUAAUGAGCAUGGUCAAGUUCCCAAUAGAAAAAGGAAUGGAACCAGAGAGUUUGUUAUCCCAAAUAUAAAGCUCAGAUAGGCUUGUCAAGUUUUCAAUAGAAGAAGGGAUGGGACUAGAGAGUUGGUUCCUAGAAAGACCAAGGUGAGACAAAUUUCUUAAUUUUCCAAUGGAAUAAGGGAUUCUACCGGUUAAAACAUUAAUUGACAAGUCAAGUUCAUUGAGAGACUCUAGCAAUCCAAUUUCUUGAGGAAUGGAACCAGAGAGUUUGUUACCCCAAAGAUAGAGUAUGGAUAGGCUUGUCAAGUUUCCAAUAGAAGAAGGGAUUGGACCAUAGAGUUGGUUCAUAAAAAGAUCAAGGAUAGAUAAUUUUCUUAAUUUUCCAAUUUCAUGUGGGAUGGUUCCAGAAAGAGAAUUGUUGUGAAGGUCAAGACAAAAAAGAUUACGGAAGGCCGAGAAGUUGAAAUCAUGAAGCGUACCUCUCAAGCCAAAACUUUCAAGUGUCAAAUUGGUGAUGCUUCCAGAAUUGUCACAGGUGAUUCCAAUCCAGUUAAUGCAAGGGCUGAUGCCGACCCAAGAAGAAAGAAGAGAUUGGCUUUGGUUGUCAAGACAGGCUUUCCAUUGGAGAAGAGCCUCAGCUUCUGUAUUAUUAUUACCAAAUGGUGAAGUUGUGGAGGAAGUGUGUUCAGCUAAAGCAAAGAAGGAAGAAGAGCUGAAUAUCUGAAGGAGCAAAAACAGGAUGUGGAGAAAGAAGGAGAAGAAUGGUUUGUUUAGUAAGGACGUCGUCAUGGUGUGUUUUUCAAGAGACGUAGGAUAUGGUUUGCUAUGGUACUAGAUUAGGCUCUUCCAUGGAGUGGUAUUUAUAGGCAGGAAAACAUGAUAUAUUGGAAUUGUUUUUAAUAUCAUUGAUUAUUACAUCUCUUCUCUAAUUAAGUUGAAAUUAACUACUUAGAUACAUACUCUGUAAAAUUUAUCAGUACGAAGAAGAAAUUGAGAAGACUAUAGAUCAGUACACUUGAAGUAACAACCACGGGAACAGAAAAAUGAAGUUCCUAUCAAUCCAUUUUUCUGAAGUUCCUAUCAAUCCACGUCAACCGAUUAUAAUUUUAUUUUAAAAAAAAAACAUUUAAACUAUUCUAUCCUUUUAGUAUCUUAAAUAAAAAUACUAAUUAUUUUUUUAUAAUUUUUUUUUAUUUUUAAUAAAAAAAUAUUUAAAUUACACUUGAAGUAUUCUAAAUAUUUUUUUAUAAAUGUUUUCUAUUUUUUAUAAAAAAGUUUAAACUAUCCUUAAACUAUCCUAAACAUAAAUUCUAAUUAAUUUUUUUAUACUUUCAAACUCAUCACAGUUGUAGAUCCCAAAUGGCUCGUGGAACUUGCUCCCAGAUUCUUUAAAGUGGGAGCGUCAAGAACGCGUUGAACCUCUCUAUGAUAGAUAUCACGAACCUAAUUCAUGGCGGUUGAGUAAACGGCGAGCUUGAUGUGUUUUCAGUUAUUUUUAUCAACAAGUUUUCAGUCUUAAUUAAUCUUUUCUUGCUACAAAACGUAGCUGUACAUAUUCUGUCUUGAAUCUUGAUUAUGUAUUGAGGAAAUCUAGACACAUGUAUAUCCCUGGAAGAUAACAAGCGAGGUCCUCUGGUCUUCUUGACAUGAAUUUGUUCAUAACUUUUGCUGCUAAUAACAAUCAUUUGGAUCAAUUUAAGGUUGGUGGAAAUUAACUAGUUUAUCGGGUAAAAUCACUUGGAAUGUCCAGCCGGAGAACAUUUAGGGUCGAGGGAUAGGUACACCUCCAAGUGCCUUCUGAGUCCAGCGAUUAGUGCCUGGGCCCUCUCUAUAUAUACUUUCUUUGCUCCAAAUAUAGUAUUACUGGAUAUAAUGUUAUCGUGUUCUUGGGGUUUGAAUUUUCUAAUGGAAAUUCAUUUCAUUAGAAAAUUCAACAUCAAGUUGGAAAUUCAUUGGUUGGUAGAGUGGGUCGGAGGGAGAUGGCAGAGGAUUCUGGACCCGGUGGUACCUCAAGCUCUGCAGGGGAGGAUGAGGCACGGGCUUCCAUGAGCUCAUGUCCACAGAAACACUACGUGCAAAUUGCUCUACGAGAAAGUCUUUGGCAAAAUCUAUACAAGUGGUCUCCAUAUGAUAUGGACAUUUCACGAAUGAGAGAUGGCAUGAGAAUAAGGUUUCUUGAAGGCAUAUAUCUUUGACAAUUCUGUUUAAAGAAGAAGUUUUUGUUCAGCAGAGACAUUGGAAUGGGAGAUUGCAAACCAGAGCUAGUUGUAAUGAAGAUUAUUGGGAUGUGUUUCUAUACAAAACGGAAAAAGAAGAAAUAUUGACGAUCCAGUUCUUUGAACAGAAGUAGACAAAGAAAGAUGGUGCAAAGAUUGAAUGGGGUGUCUAAUAUCUGCCAUUGGAGACUAAAGGAGAAGAGGACCUAGCUAUUCUUAGCUUUGUCCAGUUAUUUUUGUGUAACCUACACAGCGAGUAUACAUAAUGGCUAAAUGAACUAAUUUACAACGAAUUCCUCGUUAAAUUACUCUAGAACUGACAGAGGGCUAAAAAAUGGCAUUCUUCAUAUAUACACCAAUAAAAAAAAUAAAAAUCAUAGACGACUAUGCAACCUCUGGUUAGACAAUCUAUGACGGACCGGGGAGACGCUCUCCCCUUUGGAGAUGAAACAACAGCUGCCUGUGGAAGUGAUGACAUAGCCAGAAGAUUGCCUAACUGCAAUUCCAUUCUGAGGUUUGGUGUUCAAAGAAAAGAAUGAUUAUCACACGGAAAUUCCUGCUGUAUUUUCCUUCAGUCUCCUCUCAGCUGCUAGAGCAGCAGCCACGGACGGGGGCAGAUGUCUUAGGUUUUCAGUUGGCUUUCCAUCACUUUCUGGCACAGUGGACGGCACUGUUGCGAGUAGGGACUCAACAUCCUUGAAGGUGAUUUGGUCCAUGAAGAUCAGUUGAAAUAUAAAAAAAACAUACAUAAGAUGAUCUAGAGAUCUAUCUACCUUCCUCCUUUCAUCUGGAUAUGAUGACCCGACCUACAUGCAUGACCCGGAUGAAGGAUGACGUCAGCAUGCACAGUUGGCAUGCCAUGCCAGGGCCAAGUCAUCUGACACGUCAGCACGGCGGGACCCACAUCCACGUCAUUAGCCGCGAGCCGAGCCGCGAGCCGAGGGAUAAGAUCCAGUGUGGCUGAUUCUACGUGCAACCGGAUCUGAGAUUGAAUUUGGACCGCUUAUCAGGCUAGAAUUGCUUUACCUCCGUUUGCUAGCUUGAAUGCCUUGUUGUUUUCCAUGCAGUAUGGACAUGCGAGUUUCCCAUGCGUGCUCCAACCAGAAAGCAUUCCAUAAGCUGGAAAAUCACUGAUAGUCCACAUCAAAGCCGCCCUCAUAAGGAAAUUUUGUUUCCUCGAUAUAUCAUAAGUCAGAGAUCCGGAGGACCACAACAGCGCCAACUCAUCUAUCAACGGUCGAAGACAAACAUCUAUAUUCCGCCCCGGGCUGCUUGGAGCGGGUAUGACAGUAGAUAGAAACAUGAACUCCGGCCUCAUACACAUUCCUGGUGGCAAGUUGUCGCACGUGUGCGGCGGCGCGACGAUCGUACACCCUCAAGGAAAAAUCGGAAUAAUUUAUUCCUGGAAAAAUGGGGAGAGACAAGGAAUUCUUGUCUCUACAAGUGAAAAUAUGGACUGGGAGUCGCCACCUAGUUUUCUGGUUACUAGGAACCUUAACUAGUUUUUAGAGAUCGGGUACGGAGACUGGUUGCGUAAGGGAAGAUAUUAGCACCCCAACUACGUCCUACCUAAGGUAGGCUGCAUUGUUUUAAUGUCUGAUAAAAUUUAAAAUCGUGUUGUGGUUUUUGAAUUGUUGGUUCGUUUACGGUUUAAGAAAAGUCCUCCUCUGUAAGGAGAUCCUUAUCUUUAUCGGGUAAAAAACUAACUAUUCGAAGUCGUCAAAAGAAAAUAUCUUUUUAAUAUCAGGAAUACGAUUUACGUAUAAAUUCAUAAUCCUGAUACUAAAAUCAAACAAAAUAAAAUAUUUUGUUGUUUUUGAGAUUUUGGCCAAUGUUCUCUUGACUUUAAUAAACUGGUUAUUAAAGCCAAAAUGCAUGCUAAAAUAUUUUUUUUGACAUAUGAAAAAUACGAUAUGAUUUUUUAGAUUUGAGACACUUGGCCGUAUGCACAAAAACAUUUUUUUUUAUUUUUUUCAAUUUUUUUAUUUAUUUUUGGAAGUUUUUGCCGAAAAACGGGUAUUUUAAUACCGGAUUUAUAUUUUUACGAUGUAAAAAUACUGCCCGAUAUUAAUCAAAAUGACAUAAAAACUACGCGGAAAAAUUAUAAAAUGCUGAAACAAAUAUUUUUGAUUUUUUUUUAUGCAUGUGUGAACAGUACCGUAUGAAUAGUGAACAGUACCGCGGGACGAAAACCGGGUAUUUUAAUACCGAAUUUAUAUUUUUACGAUGUAAAAUACAGACCGAUAUUAAGCAAAAUUGAUAAAAACAUGUGCUGGAAAAAUUGUAAAAAUUCUAUAUAAAAAAAAAAUUGAAAUGGAUUGAAAUGGGCCGGACCCGGCCCAUUUCAGUGGGCUGGGCCGAACCUGGCCCAAAUGCAUGGGCUGGGCUCGGGCCCAGCCCACCUUAGCAGCUUCACCUCGCCUGCAGGCGUGCACCGUGCACGUCCUGCAUGGCGAGGGAAGAAACGAAAAUAAAAAUAAAAGGGGGCAGUGUUUACCUGGAGAGGCGGCGACGCCGACGACUGCUGGUGGCAGCGGAGGCGGAGACGGUGCUGGCGAUGGCAGUGGCAGCCUCUCCCCUGUUUUUCUUCUUCGGUGCAGAGGUGAGAACCUCUUUCUUUUCUUUUCUUUUCUUUUCUUCUUCUACUCUCUCUCUCGGUCCUCUCCUUCUCUCCCCUCUCUCUUCUCCCUUCUUCUCUUCUGUUUUUUCUCUCUUUCUUCUUUUCUCCCCUGUUUUUAUAGGCAAAAAACAAGGGAGACGACUGUUGGGGCCGCCACUGUUGGCCGCCCCUCCACUAUCCAAGUGGCCGAAAAAGUAUGCAAGUGGCUAUUGUGGGCGUCUUUUUGAAGCCGUCGGGGAAAGCAGUUCGGCGAAAAGUGGAGAAAAAAAAUUUCUUCUCCUCUGUUCUCUGCGUGCGCAGGGAAGAAGACAAUGGUGCCGUUUCAAAACGGCACCGUUUUGGGUUCUUUUUUUUUUUUUUUUUUUUAAACAGUGCACGAAACGGCGCCGUUUUGGUCAAAACGCGCCGUUUCAUUUAAAAGAAAAAGGCGCCAAAACGCGUCAGAUUUCAAAGAAGUCCCUCCAUUUGCGCGCGUUUUACAAUUUAGUCCUUGGUCUCGGAUUUCUUCAAUUAAGUCCCUAAUUGGCCAUUAAACUUCAAUAUUUAUGCAAUUAAGCCCCUGAUUUGACCAAAUUAACUUCCAAAAAUUAUAAUUUGACCCCAGAAAAUUAAUUUCUCUAAUUAAAGCCCAAAUUAACUCCAAAAUCAAUUUUUUUGCAAUUAAAACCUCUAUAAAUUCAAUUAAACCUUCAAUAAAAUUUAAUUGAGUCCAUAAACUUCUAAUUUUGCAUUUUUCUUCCUUAAAUUGAAUUUUCUUUAUCAUCGGGGCUCUCAUCAGUCAAUGAUAAACUGUCAAAAAUUAAUUUUUAUAUUUUUGAACAUCCUCAAUCAAUUUUUGAACAUUUUUAGGGCGCUCUGGCAUUUUUUUCACUGUUAUAUUUUUUGAUAAUAUAUUUUUUUGUAUUUUAUUAUUUUUUAUGCGGGGACCCAAAAAUGGGUUACAACACAAGUUAUAAACUGUGAGAAUGACCGGCCAACAAGAAUAGGGAGCAGCAAAUGACCCAAAUGGGUUGAACCCGUCUAUCCACAACCCAAGUCGAACAUUCCUUGAUUCAGCAGAAAAGUCAGGAUGAACACUGUUAAAGCGUUUCCCACGCUUUGCCGUCAGAAGUGUCGCACCCCAAAAAAAAUCCAGCGCGCGGCAUCGGCUGGCGAUUUUUCAUCAUUUUUGCGUUUACUUUGAAUUCGUUCGUGGGAGUCGCCACCUAGUAAUUUGUUGAGGGCUACUAGGAAACCUGAUGUACUAGUCUUGUCAGAGAUCGCGGGUAAGGGACUGGUUGUGGUUAGGGAAGGUAUUAGCACCCCUAACACACCCUACCUGAGGUAAGCUGCUUUGUGUUCUGAUGUGAUUUGAAAAUUUAAAAUAUUAAUUAAAUUCUAAGGCUUGAAUAAAUCAGUUAUUAAAUCCCCGAAUAUAUGCAGAAACUUGUUCUUACAUUUUCAUGGAAAAUACAACUUGAUUUUAUUUGUCCUUCAGAUAUUUAACCAUAUUUAAAUUAACAAUUAAUUCUUUUUGUCCUUUUUGAUUUUUAAUUCAAUAAUAUAAAUAAAUAAAAUAAAAAAAAACAAACAUACAAGCACACACAAACAUUUCUUUUUAUUUAUUUAUCAUUUUCUCUUUUCUUUUCUUUUCUUUCUUUUCCUUUUUCUUCCAUAUUUACAAAAUACAAAAAAAAACUCAAAACUAAAUAAAUAUUACAUUAAACAAUUUGGAAAUUACAAAAAUGAACCCAAAACACCCCUGAACAGCGUCAGGACGACUUCUGGAGCUGCUGGAACAGUGGUGGCGCCUGGAACAACGCGCCACCGUCACUGGCGGCGCGUGAAUCCACGCGCCGCCGUGAAAAAAAAAACAGGGGAUCAGCCACGGCUUCCUCUCUUUUUCUCCUCCUCAUCGGCGAAGAUGGUGUGAUCUGAAAAAAUAACAAAAAAACGCACACAACAGGCAGUUGAUUUUAAUUUUGUUCUCUUUGUUUUAAAAUCUGCUUCGAUUUUUUUCUUCUUUUUGGCAGAUCUGUAUGUGUUUCUUCUUCGGUGCUGAUGAUUGUUGGAUCUCGGCCUGAUCUGCUACCCGGGUUUGAGUCGGAGGAGAGCCGGUUGAUGACGGGCUCGUUGGUGGCCGGAUCGGUCGGAAAAAGCAGAGGACGAAGGAGUGGCGGGGUCGUUUCUGUUGAGGAUAGAUCUGCCGGCCUCUAGACCUCUGGUGUGGACGGCGUUGCUGUUGUGUGGCUCGGUGGAGAUCGGAGAGCUUGAUAGAGAAGGGGUCUCGGCUAAGAGGCAGACGAUCGGUGGAACGGAGAAGAAGAAAAAUUAAAGUAGAAUGGGGGGGGGCUUGAGCUGCGGUGGAGAGGCAGAGGUGGAAGGGGCUGUCUUGGUAUGGAUGAGAGGAAGAUCGGCGUUGUGGGUUGUGUUGGUUUGGGGAAGAAAAAUAAUGAAAACGGGGAGGGGGCUGUUCGGUUUUGGAGGAGAAGGGAGAGGAUUUGGGUGGCUUCGGGUGCAGGCCUUGGAUUUGCUGGUUGAAGGGGAAGAAGAUGGGGGGGGGGGAAAUUAAGCCGGGGCUGUUUUUGGGGGAGGUUGAGAGUCAGGGAUGAAAGACAGAGAGGGGCGGCGGCGGCUCAAGGUGUGGAAAAAAAAGAAAACCGGGGGUGGAUGUGUUUGGGGUUUUUAGGGUUAGGUUUUCAUGUGAUGUUUCAAAAUUGCCCCCAUGCCUUAAAAUUUGCCCCCCCUUGCAAGUGUUGGAAACCAGUAUUUAUAAGCAAAAAAUGUUGCCAAGUUUUUCAACUUGGUCCCUCAACUUCUUUCUUUUUGUAAAUUUUGAUUUUUCUUAUUUUUUUGUAUUUUUUUGAAAACGAGCAAGAUCAACGUCGACUCAACGAGGAAAAUCAAUGAUUUUAAAAAUGACGCGUGAAAAGUGGAACGCGUUUGAAAAUCUUUUAAAAUUUUAAAUUUUUUUUUAGACGACGUUAAAAAUGCUAAAAUGACGAAAAUAUAUAAAAAAACAUAUUUUUUUGGAUUUUCUUUGUUUUUCUCUAUUUUUGGAUUUUUUAAAAAUAUAUCAAAAACAUGGGUCAAAAAUUGGGUAGCAACAGAUGCCCCCUCUUUACAAUGCUUACGAAGCAAAAAUCCUCGAUAUUUUGCAUAGUAAGCUUUGUAAAGAAAAACUUGUCUUUCUGUUUAAAAACCUUUUUUUUUUUAUUAUUAUUAUCAUGAGAUCACAUCUGGCGACCUUCUUUAACCAAAACCAAAGAAUGUGUGUAACUCGGUCAACCUGAAAUCCCAUAUGGAGAUUCCCUUUAACCAAAGCUACAUGAGAUCCCAUCUGGCGACCUCAUUCAAUUGGAACAAAAGAAUGUGUAAAAAGCGGUCUCAUUAUAAUGGGUGACCUACCCAAGUGGAAAGGGGGAAGAGUGGUCUCAUUCUUUGGGUGACCUACCCAAGUAAAAAAAAAAUGGAGAAUGGUCUCAUUAUAAUGGGUGACCUACCCAGAAAAAAUGGUGGUCUCAUUGUGAUGGGUGACCUACCCAAGUGGAAAAAGGAAGAGUGGUCUCAUUCUUUGGGUGACCUACCCAGGGGGAGGAAUGGCCUCAUUCUUAUAGGUGACCUACCCAGGUAAAAAAAAAUGGAGAAUGGUCUCAUUCUUUGGGUGACCUACCCAGAAAAAAUGGUGGUCUCAUUGUGAUGGGUGACCUACCCAAGUGGAAAAAGGAAGAGUGGUCUCAUUCUUUGGGUGACCUACCCAGGGGGAGGAAUGGCCUCAUUCUUAUGGGUGACCUACCCAGGUAAAAAAAAAAUGGAGAAUGGUCUCAUUCUUUGGGUGACCUACCCAUAAAAAAUAGUGGUCUCAUUGUGAUGGGUGACCUACCCAAAAUGGAAAAAAUAUGAUGAAGUGGUCUCGUUGUGAUGGGCGACCUACCCAAAUAGAAAAAUGUGAAGUGUGGUCUCAUUGUAAUGGGUGACCUACCCAAAAAUGGAAACAAUAUGAAGUGUGGUCUCAUUUUAAUAGGUGACCUACCCAGAUGGAAAAAAUGUGAUAUGACAAGUGUGAAAAAUAGGACUUACCUGGCGAAGUCCCGAGGGGAUGACAGAAGAAGGGCUGGAAAACUUGGUGCUUCCUGAUAAUUCUCGAUCAUAGGGUUUGAAAACUCGGUGUUUCCUGACUGCAAGGGUUGAAAACUCGAGGCUUCUCGAUUGCAAGGUUGAUCUUUCCAUUUCUUUGGGAUUUUCCUAAUGGUAAGGUUUAUCCCAUCGUCCUUUUAUUCCAUGAUCAAAACCGAUUCUUUAUUAUCAUCACCACAAUGUUCUUUCUCUUUCCACCAUCUUGCUGGACCUCAUUAAGGAUUUUCCUGUAACAAUUCAAAAAUAUGUACAAAUGUUUCUUACCUGAUUCGAAAUAUAGGUCCCCCCCUCCUUGAUGCUCCAUCGUCAUAGGGUUCCCUUGUUUGCAUCCCAAGGCUUUCUUUGUUCUUCCGAGGCAUUGACUCAUUCAUGUGCUGGCCAUACACUCAGCUGUAAAUGCAGUGCCCAUCCUAGGCGGUCUUCGACAAUUACUGCUCGCAACGUUCAUCAACCUUGACCCUGCCCCCAAGUGUGGUGCUGCUUGAUUCAUUACGAAGGAUUUUCUCUCUGGAUUCUUCUGAGAAUUAUCCUUUGAUUGAUUGUGUGCAUCAUGUCAACACCCAUCAAGAUUGUUAAUCAGUCAUGAGCUUGAUAGAGAAGGGGUCUCGGCAGAGAGGCAGACGAUCGUGGAACGGAGAAGAAGAAAAAUUAAAGUAGAAUGGGGGGGGCUUGAGCUGCGUGGAGAGGCAGGGUGGAAGGGGCUGUCUUGGUAUGGAUGAGAGGAAGAUCGGCGUUGUGGGUUGGUUGGUUUGGGGAAGAAAAAUAAUGAAAACGGGGAGGGGCUGUUCGGUUUUGGAGGAGAAGGAGAGGAUUUGGGUGGCUCGGGUGCAGGCCUUGGAUUUGCUGGUGAAGGGAAGAAGAUGGGGGGGGGGAAAUUAAGCCGGGGCUGUUUUUGGGGAGGUUGAGAGUCAGGGAUGAAAGACAGAGAGGGCGCGGCGCGGCUCAAGUGUGGAAAAAAAAGAAACCGGGGGUGGAUGUGUUUGGGUUUUAGGUUAGGUUUUCAUUGAUGUUUCAAAUUGCCCCCAUGCCUUAAAAAUUUGCCCCCCUUGCAAGUGUUGGAAAACCAGUAUUUAUAAGCAAAAAAUGUUGCCAAGUUUUUCAACUUGGUCCCUCAACUUCUUUCUUUUUGUAAAUUUUGAUUUUUCUUAUUUUUUUGUUAUUUUUUUGAAAACGAGCAAGAUCAACGUCGACUCAACGAGGAAAAUCAAUGAUUUUAAAAAUGACGCGUGAAAAGUGGAACGCGUUUGAAAAUCUUUAAAAUUUUAAAAUUUUUUUUUAGACGACGUUUUUAAAAAUGCUAAAAUGAAAAAUAUAUAAAAAAACAUAUUUUUUUGGAUUUUCUUUGUUUUUCUCUAUUUUUGGAUUUUUUUAAAAAUAUAUCAAAAACAGGUCAAAAAUGGGUAGCAACAGAUGCCCCCUCUUUACAAUGCUUACGAAGCAAAAAUCCUCGAUAUUUGCAUAGUAAGCUUUGUAAAGAAAAACUUGUCUUUCUGUUUAAAAACCUUUUUUUUUAUUAUUAUUAUCAUGAGAUCACAUCUGCGACCUUCUUUAACCAAAACCAAAGAAUGUGUGUAACUCGGUCAACCUGAAAUCCCAUAUGGAGAUUCCCUUUAAACAAAGCUACAUGAGAUCCCAUCUGGCGACCUCAUUCAAUUGGAACAAAAGAAUGUGUAAAAAGCGGUCUCAUUAUAAUGGGUGACCUACCCAAGUGGAAAGGGGGAAGAGUGGUCUCAUUCUUUGGGUGACCUACCCAAGUAAAAAAAAUGGAAAGGUCUCAUUAUAAUGUGACCUAAGAAAAAAUGGUGGUCUCAUUGUGAAUGGGUGACCUACCCAAGUGGAAAAAGGAGAGUGGUCUCAUUCUUUGGUGACCUACCCAGGGAGAAUGGCCUCAUUCUUAUAGUGACCUACCCAGGUAAAAAAAAAUGGAGAAUGGUCUCAUUCUUUGGGUGACCUACCCAGAAAAAAUGGUGGUCUCAUUGUGAUGGGUGACCUACCCAAGUGGAAAAAGGAAGAGUGGUCUCAUUCUUUGGGUGACCUACCCAGGGGGAGGAAUGGCCUCAUUCUUAUGGGUGACCUACCCAGGUAAAAAAAAAAUGGAGAAUGGUCUCAUUCUUUGGGUGACCUACCCAUAAAAAAUAGUGGUCUCAUUGUGAUGGGUGACCUACCCAAAAUGGAAAAAAUAUGAUGAAGUGGUCUCGUUGUGAUGGGCGACCUACCCAAAUAGAAAGAAUGUGAAGUGUGGUCUCAUUGUAAUGGGUGACCUACCCAAAAAUGGAAACAAUAUGAAGUGUGGUCUCAUUUUAAUAGGUGACCUACCCAGAUGGAAAAAAUGUGAUAUGACAAGUGUGAAAAAUAGGACUUACCUGGCGAAGUCCCGAGGGGAUGACAGAAGAAGGGCUGGAAAACUUGGUGCUUCCUGAUAAUUCUCGAUCAUAGGGUUUGAAAACUCGGUGUUUCCUGACUGCAAGGGUUGAAAACUCGAGGCUUCUCGAUUGCAAGGUUGAUCUUUCCAUUUCUUUGGGAUUUUCCUAAUGGUAAGGUUUAUCCCAUCGUCCUUUUAUUCCAUGAUCAAAACCGAUUCUUUAUUAUCAUCACCACAAUGCUUCUUUCUCUUUCCACCAUCUUGCUGGACCUCAUUAAGGAUUUUCCUGUAACAAUUCAAAAAUAUGUACAAAUGGUUUCUUACCUGAUUCGAAAUAUAGGUCCCCCCCCUCCUUGAUGCUCCAUCGUCAUAGGGUUCCCUUGUUUGCAUCCCAAGGCUUUCUUUGUUCUUCCGAGGCAUUGACUCAUUCAUGUGCUGGCCAUACACUCAGCUGUAAAUGCAGUGCCCAUCCUAGGCGGUCUUCGACAAUUACUGCUCGCAACGUUCAUCAACCUUGACCCUGCCCCCAAGUGUGGUGCUGCUUGAUUCAUUACGAAGGAUUUUCUCUCUCGGAUUCUUCUGAGAAUUAUCCUUUGAUUGAUUGUGUGCAUCAUGUCAACACCCCAUCAAGAUUGUUAAUCAGUCAUGAGCUUGAUAGAGAAGGGGUCUCGGCAGAGAGGCAGACGAUCGGUGGAACGGAGAAGAAGAAAAAUUAAAGUAGAAUGGGGGGGGGCUUGAGCUGCGGUGGAGAGGCAGAGGUGGAAGGGGUUGUCUUGGUAUGGAUGAGAGGAAGAUCGUUUUCAACUUGGUCCCUCAACUUCUUUCUUUUUGUAAAUUUUGAUUUUUCUUAUUUUUUUGUAUUUUUUUGAAAACGAGCAAUAUCAACGUCGACUCAACGAGGAAAAUCAAUGAUUUUAAAAAUGACGCGUGAAAAGUGGAACGCGUUUGAAAAUCUUUUAAAAUUUUUAAUUUUUUUUUUAGACGACGUUAAAAAUGCUAAAAUGAUGAAAAUAUAUAAAAAAACAUAUUUUUUUGGAUUUUCUUUGUUUUUCUCUAUUUUUGGAUUUUUUAAAAAUAUAUCAAAAACAUGGGUCAAAAAUUGGGUAGCAACAAGAAGGAUGCACCAUCACACCAUCAACGACAUCGUGUGUUUGGUGCCAUGUCAUGUGCUCAGCAGUCCUUGGUGACAUAAAUAACCUCUGCAGUCUAGGUGUGAUCGAAAAAUAUCUAAGUUUUUUAUACGCCACUAGAGUCUUCCCCCUGCCAGUUCUGGGUUUGUAACGGGAGUGCCCGCAUGUCAUGCACUCGAUCAUCUCAGCAUUUUCAAGGUAGUAUAACAUGCAGAAGUUAGGGCACAUGUCAAUUUUCUGGUAUCCUAAACCGAGGGGUUUCAUCAUGGACUUCGCAGCAUAGAAGUUCUCUUUGAGCCUGUUCCCUUCUGGUAAAAUGCUUCUUGCCCAAUCAAUAAUUUUGUCAUACCCGGCCUCACUCAACCCGUGAUCUGACUUGAUGGUGAACACCUGUGCCACGGCCGAUAAUUUACUGUGGUUUGUGCAGCCAUCCCAUAAUGGUUCGUCAGAAUCUUUCAACAAAUCAAAAAACCUAGCUGCCUCUGCAUUAGGUUCUUCUUCUACGAUUGGACAUUGAUUGACAUUGUCUUGAUUCAUUCUCAUUGCAUCCAUAACCAUGUUUCUGUAAGGAUUAGUGUUGUCAUUUGCCGCUUCAUGCACGUUGCUAGCACUAGAAGUUGACCCAACCACCGUUUCUCCCAUUCUCCUAUUACUAACAAAUACCUCUCCAUGUGCAUACCAACACUCGUAAUCCUCCACAAACCCUUUGUGUAGAAGAUGCAUCAUUACAACAUCUGGAUGCAGAUACUUUUUAUUUUGACACUUCCUGCAUGGACACCUAAUACCGCCUCCAGUAAAAUUUCUGGGAAUAGAUGUUGCGAAAUUAAUAAAACCCUGAACCCCGUUACAAUAAUCCAUCCUCCGCAAUCCUUGGGGUGAAUCUAGAUACAUCCAUGAACGAUCAUCCAUGACUUCUAUCGAACCUCUAUAAAAAGGACCCAUUAAUUAAGCAAGCUCUUAAUUAUUUCAAAACAUAACAUGUAAUUCGGUAAUUCUACAAAUUAAGUUUUAACAAUUUUCAAAAAAAUACAAUCUUACAAAAUCUAAAACAAACCAUAACAAGUAUAAAAUUAUACAUUCAUAUACUACAAGUUUGUUUGAGAAAUAACAAUAAAACAUGUACAUCUACUAAAAAAAAAUAAUACAUAUACUAAAAAAACAAUAAAAUUGACAUUUAAAUGUUAAAAUUUUAAAAGAUAGAAUUACUUACAAAAAAUGAUAAAAUCCGUCGGUAAAUCAGAACACGGAUGCUGUGACCACAAAACAAAUACAACUUGUUGUGCUGAGAUGAGGAAGAUUUUUGUUUUGGGGCAAGGGGGGGGUGGUUAUUUUGCAGAUGGGGAGGGUUAGGAUUAGGAAGAAGAAGGAGAAAUGGGGGAGGAGAGUGUCGGCAAAGUGGCCAUAUAUUCACUUUUGCCGACGGACUUACCGACGGUUUGGAUUCCGUCGGCGACUCCAUCGGCAAAACCGUCGGUAAUUCUGACGGGCAAUCGACACGUCACCGCACGGACCUCCUAUUCAAAUCCCUCGGUGAUUCCAUCGGUAUUUUUAACGGUGCACCGGUCACGUCACCGGUACGGAUCUGGCAUUUCAAAUCCGUCGGACUAUAUCCGUCGGUAAUGACCGACCGAAUUACCGACGAAAUUAUUCCGUCGGUGAGUUCGAUCGAAAAAUACUGACAGAAAAAAUUUCGCCGGUGAGUCUGUUGGUAUUUAGCGAAUUUCUGGUAGUGUCUAAAAUGUGAUUUGGACGAUUUUAAACUUCUUUUUAGCUAAUUUGAUCAUUCCAGAUGCAAUGGUACGGUCCGAUCGUUGAGAUUGAGAUCGAAAGUGGUGGUGGUUAAUUAUUAAGAGAGAUUGCUCGAUUAGGAGACAUUUGAAGGUAAUCAUAGUGGUCAAUGGAGAUAAAGAAGAAGAAGGCGCACACAUUUGCCCAAUUAUGUGUGCUGAAUUGUUUAGUGGGGAGAAUUUUAAUUGCCUUGAGGGAAGGCAAAAUUGGGAUUCUUUGGACACCCGAUCAUGUGGACGAUUUGAGGUGGAGAGUAAAAAUUAAAGAAGACCAAUCUUGACGAAUCUAAGCACUGGUAGUCUCGCUAGAUGUUGAGAAAUCAGGUAUAAAACCAGGAUACCCAGAGCACUUAUAAAGGAAAGCUGCAACAAAGCUAGCAAAUGGUUGUAUAUACGGAAAGGCAUUACGAUGGAUAGAUAUGGCCUAAGGAGUUCUGGCUAGGAGAUUGGGUUUUAAGCGGGACCGGUGUGACCACUCCAAUCUUUCCUAGAAACUUGCUUAGUUGAAGGAUUAUCCAUACGAUACUAUUUUCGUAUAUGUAACAGUUUGUAAUGAAACUGGUGAAGACUAGUAGGAAGAUAGCACAGGGGGAACAAUUGGGUUUCGUAUGAUCAAGGAUCUAAUGUAGUGGUGAUUUGUCUAAAGAAGUUAGAUUCAACGACUGUAAUUUCUUGAAGGGAAGGGAGAAUUGAUGAAGACCCUAAUAAUAUAAGAGAAAUAUAGCAAAGGGAUAAAGAUUGGCACCUUAUUUUGACUUGGAUAGGUGUUGUGACAAGAUGAGCUGCUGUCAAACAUAAGUAAGGAAUAAGGAGAAAUCUAGAGAACAUAAAUUACACGAGGGCACACAGAGAUUGUGCAAAGUACCCGUAGGAUCUAACGAGGUACUGUAAUGAGACAACAGGUGCAAGGAGAAGAAAAGUUCCCAGAUGAAGCUCAUAGCAGAGACUGUGUGAAAAGUUGUACAAUGAGAAGUCUCUUAUGCUCUUGAUGAAGACAAUAGGUGAAGACCUUUCAAUGCAUGCAAAGAUGGAAAUAAAGCUGUUGCAGAUGCACCUAAUUAAGAGGGUGCGACCACCUAUGAGGAAAGGCGAUGAAACCAAAGAGAGUUGGUGUAGGUGGAGUGAUUAGUACUUAAAAGUGCAUUUUUAUCUAGGUUUUAUAUCUUCAUUUUUCACUUGUAGUAUCAAUAACUCCUUAACUAAAGCAUGUUUUAUAAUAACAAGUCUAAUACUAUAAGAUACCUUAAUAUAUGGUAAAUGUUCAUCUUAAAUGCAGGCAUAUCACAUAAAUCAAAGGAUUGAUUAAUGAAUUCAACUACUGAAAUUGUGAAGAUAAAGAGAGGGUGAAGCUUAGAAAAGUGAUGCUGGUUCAAUCCAAACUGGAACACUGUUCAGUAAUUGGGUCAUAUCUGGAGUUGUAGAUCUUUGAUUUAUGUCUGCUUUAUAUGGAUGGAAAGAUAAGACAUAGGCCUAAACCUUUCAUGUGGAGUCCAAGAAUUAAAAAGGCUGUUUUCAAGUCCAAAUUAUAGCAACAAUGGAGAAGUCCGAAUCUGUCCUACAGCCCAGACACUGUUCAGUGUUUAGCCCAUAGCUCGAGUUCUAGAAGUCCAAAUAACUUCAAUUUUUUUCCUGGAAAGCUAAGAUAAUUUCUUAGAACUUUCACAGUACAAGUGGUUCCAGUUCUGAUGUUAACAAUGACGUUUUGUUUAGACAGUAAGAUAAGGAUUGUUACCAAGUCAAGAUGUGGCCACCCACUCAACAAUUAUUCAUCAAAUCAAUAGUUCCAAAUUUUGGCCUAUAAAAGGAGGCAUUUGCCAUGCAUUUAGAGAUCUUGGUGUUCAGAUCAAGAUCAUGCUCUUGCUUUCUCUCUUUGUAUUGCUUAUGUUUUGCUUUUAUUAAUAUCAAGUUUAUGCACUUCAUUUCCUUUCCUCUACUUAGUUAACAUCUUUCUCAUUUAUGUUCUUAUCUUGUUCAUUUAUGUUUCUUUCUUUCAUUAUGUUUAGCUAAAUCUAUUAUGUCAAGGUGAAAAGGUUACACUAAUGGUGUAAGAAUAAAUAUAGUAUAAACUCAACAUGGACUUUAAUGCUUGAUACUAACAUGUUUUAUAUUUGUUAUCUUGUUUACUUUUAAUACUUUGCUUGUUAAAUGGUUAAUCUAGAUUUAUGUUGUAUAAAACUUGGUACAACAAAUACUUGGCACUUUCAUAGCCCAUACUGUAUGGUAUAACCAACACCUGAGCUAUGAAAGGAACUUGAUUUGUUGUUAAUUUAAAGUUAUAAUCAUGAAUGCCUGACAACAUUUACAAGUAUUAGCAUUAUUCGAAUAAGAUAACUAAUGUAAUCAUGUUAACAAUUUAUAAUCUGAUUGGAACCUCCUUUAUGUGUGGUUUCCAAUUGAAUAAUAAGAGUUUAUACUAUACUUAUUUGAAGUACCAUUAGUGGAUCCUCUAACCUUGACAUUUGUUUUUAUCAUUGUUUAAUCCUUACAAUAAUCUUCCAUCUCAAAGUUCUCAUUAAUUUCUUCCUCUUCUCUUUUUUUUUAUUACUACUACUACUACUACUACUAUUAUUGUUAUUAUUAUUUACAUUCUUGUUAUAUUUUAUGUACGUUAAGUAUGCUCUGUGUUUGAUCAAGGAUCCUGACAUUGUUGGUUUUGCCUUGUUCAUUCGCAUCAGAAAUCUGUUUAUAUUAUAUAAUAUAUCUCUUUGAUCUUUUCAUAAACUCAGUAUAUAGGCUGGAAACUUGUGACCCGAUUUUUUAGAUCAUUCUCAGGUAUAACAACGCCACGUACUAAGUAUAUUAUUACUAUUACUAUUAUUGUUAUUGUUAUUAUUGUUGUUGUUGUUGUAUUGUUAUUUAUAAUUUAUACAAUUAACCUCUCUGUGGUUCGACCCCGGUCUUGUCGGGUUAUUUCUUCGACACUCCUGCACUUGGAAGAAGACAUCAAUCUUUUGGUCGUGUCAUAGAGCUAUCAAGCAAAAAGGUAUAGAACCUCCAAACAUAGAAAUUGAGAUGGAGGUUUACAAGGAGUGUACCACAACUCUCUCUUUCUAUAUGAUCAGAGGCAGUGAUCUCUACCAAAUCCACAUGGUAGUAGAGAAUCUUGGAGGAGGUUUGAGAGCCAUAAUAGGAGCCCAAUUACAGAACGUCCUAGAGCCAAUGUGAUGGCUAGAUAUGAGUGGACAAGUGUAUAGAUAGCCAAUGUAGUGGUUAUGAUGAGUAUGAAGACAAAUAUAUGAUUGACUUUCAUGGAUAUUACCCCAUGCUAAAGUACAAUGAGCUAGAAGACAUUUGCCUUGGACAAUGAGUGGGUGACUUGUGGCGCAUUAAGACGUGAUUGCUAGGAAUGAGCAGAGGGCAUGCGCAGGUUCCUAGAACAAGUUGACUCUUGUCAAUGUGGUGAGCUCGGUAAUGGCAUUGUAAUACUCAAAGUAUGAAUACAGAUAUGGAUCAACAUUUAAUGGGUUGCCUCCAUAGUUAAAGGUGGAGAGCUACCUGGACUCUUAGGACUAAGAGCGAGAGACUAAUGGAGAAUUAAGGCGUGGUUUCUAGGGUGGAAAAUAGGGCAGACGCAACUCCUGGAUGAGUAGACUAUUGGAAGAGUGGUGAGCUUGUGAUCAUAUUGAGAUACUCAGAUAAUGAUUGUCGUAUUUGGAAAGAUAAAUUUUCAUUUGAGGGGUUGUUGUAAGCCAUAUCAUGAGGCUUGAAAAAUCAUUCCGGACCGAGCAUGGUUGAUACGCUUGAAGGGGAAUGUUAUGUUCUAGAGACAAGUGUUAACACUCUUCAGAUGUGAUGUGUGAGACCAUUUGGUUGAAGUGAUGCUUUGGUGUGAGCAAGGGUGUGCUUUGGUGACUCUGACGAUUGAAAGGUUUGGCAAGUACCUGUAAACUUGGUCGAAGGCGCUUUCAGAAUGGAAGCUUGGAAAAGUUGUAGGAUGUAAGCUUGUGCUAAAGAAGCAAGAUGACAAUUGCUCAUAUAAAUGGCAAAGGGGGUGAUUUUGUUUCUAGAAGGAUCGUUGUCACAUUUUCAAAUAACAACAAUUGAAAUAUUUGGGUUAAUCUUUACGGAAACCAUUCUUUAGAAUAUUCUUUCCUAAACCUCUCUCUCUAGGAAAGCCGGUGUAAGCUUAAUUAUUUUGGAAAAACCACUUCAAGAAGAGUCAGAAACUAGUGAAAAGGGAGCUCAUGUAAUUCUCCACCCUUAUUUUGGUCCUCAUUUAGGAAGGGCAGCAGCAAGGCCAACCACCGCUGCUACCAAUUGGAGCGAAGACCAUCAACGCAGCGACCGCCGCCAACGAUCACUUCUCUGAUCUUUAACCAUCUAGACGACAACACGCAACGGUGGCGCUGAACCCAUAAGAAGAAAGGAUUAACGGAGGGAGAUAGUGGCAUAUCUAAAAGAAAAGGUGUAAAACAAAAAGUGAAAUAUAUUGCUUGUGUUUGUUGGGUUGCCUUGCAAGUGAUUAAGAGAUCCACCGCUGACAGGGAAAGGAAGGGGAGAAGAGGCUGAGCUAGAUCUCACCGUUUCCAGUUUCUUCCUCGCGGCAGCGCGUGAUCCCACACACUGCUAGUGGUGGUGGCGCGUGGAGGAGACGCGCCACUAAUGUUUUUGGUGGUCCAGAAGCUUUCCCAGCAGUUUCCUGGAUUUUUAGAGGCUAUUAUGUAAUUUUUUAUUUGUGUAAUGUGUUUAUUUUAUUUUAAUUUUUUGUUAUUUAUAAUUUCAUAAGGGUGUAUGAGAAAAACAUAAUAAAAAGAGAUGCGUGUGUUUGUGUUUGUACCUUUUAAUAUAAAAUCAAAAAGAUAAAAGAAUUUAAUGUUUUAAUUUACACAUGAUCAAGUAUUUUAGGGAUAAAUAAAAUCAAGUUGUAUUUCUCGUGAAAAUAUAAGAAGAUGUUUCUACAUAUAUUUUUUGGGAUUUAAUAACUGAUUUAUUAAAACCUUAAGAAUUUGAAUAAUAUGUUUAAAUUUUUAAAUCACAUCAAUACCAUGAAGCAGCUUACCUCAGGUAGGGUGCGCUAGGGGUGCUAAUACCAUCCCAAGUCACAAUCAGUCCAUUACCCGUGAAUCUCUGAGAAAGACCGAUAUAUCUGGGUUUCCUAGUAACCUUCAAUCAAAUACUUGAUGGCAACUCUUAAAGAACCAAUCAAGCAAACAAAAUGAAAAAUCACCAACGAAUCGUCAUGCGGGUGACGUGCGACGACGAUUAUCGAUGGAAAUGUGCUUUAACUGCUGAUUUAGACCUGAGAAAUUGUUUAUCAAACAUUAUUGUUGAUUAUAGGCUAAGUUAAAUAUCUCAACAGUGGUACUUCAAUUUCAUAAGCAAAUGCGCUUUCUCUACUCCAACUAAAAGAAAAUGUUUUUGCAAACUAUGUUUUGUCCAUAGUGUCUCUUUCCCUCAAUUUAUGAACGUGAAACGUUAAAGUUUUAAUUGUUUCUUUUCCACCCAUUUGAUUGGAUUAAAAAGACCUUUUUCGAGUCACAUAUCAGCACUCCCGCAUGACAUUCUCUUAAGGAUCUUCUGUAAAGUCGCAGUCACAACUAUUGACAGUACGUAUGCAAACCAUGUGGAGAGAUUCUUUUGAUUUUCCCUUCUCUUCAUGCCUCUCUCCUAUAAGUCCUAAGAAAUACAUAGGAGGACUUGGAGAAACAUUUCAUCCAGCAUAGGCAUUUGAAUAAUCUGGAAGGCGACGUUGUAUGCCUACAAGUCUUAAGAAAUAUGUAGGAGGUGGUCGUCAGAUUUAGCCCCAAAAAAGUGAUCCAGCAUGGAUUUUAUUUAUUUUUCUACUUUUAUUCAAUGUACUUUAAAAAAAAAAAAACACUGAAUGGUAUUAUUGAAGUUUCAAUCCUGCUCAUCAUGGUUGAAUGGUAGCCUUCAUCGAUAGUCUAUGUCUCCUUGUAUUGGGAAUUAGAGCAAAUAUAUAUCAUAACAAAUUCUAACACAUAAAACAGUGCCAACAUAAUUUGAAAGAAAAAUAGUUCGAUGAUAAAAUUCAUAUUAGAAAUAACUAUUGUUCAAAUUGAUAAUCAAAUAGAAGUAGCUAGCUAUACACUAUGAGAAGAGAUCUCCCAAACUUAUUGUGCAAAAUGCCUUCGGCAAUGGAGGCCACUUAGUUGUAAGCUCGAAUUAAAUUUUUUCCAUUGUGGGCCGAGAUUGUGGAUUGGCAUGCAAGCAUGCAAGUGCAAUUUUCAUCAUGUGGACAACGCCCUCUGCUGCUCCUAUUUUGGGAAGCGAGAUACGGUGGUCUAACACAUCCUUCAAUAGUUCAUGUUGAGUAAUCGGUGGCAUCGACGAAGAUCCUGGUGAUAAGAGUGUUGAAAUGACAUCACCUGGGUGCCUUCCUGUCAUCACCUCCAUUGUUACCACUCCGAAGCUAUAGACAUCGCAUUUUUCAGUCACCUUCAUUGUGUUAGCUAUCUCUGCCAAAAAAAAAACUGAUUAUGCAUGGUUUUUUAUCAAAUAGUUGAAAGAAAAUACUUUAUAAUAAAAGCUAAAAAAACACUAUAUAUUAUCUUCACUAUUACACAUUAGUAACUUAAUGUUGAAAUAAAGGUACGCACCUGGAGCAGUAUAUCCAAAAGUACCUGCAAAUGAGGUCCAAUUGGAUGAGUCAGGCAUCGAUAGUCAAGCUGUGCCAAAGUCGGAGACGUGCGCUUCAUAUUCCAAAUCCAGAAGGAUAUUAUUGCUGGUAAUGUCUCGAUGAAUGAUUGGAGGAGAGCAAGAAUGGUGUAGAUAGGAUAAAGCUCCUCCCACCCCUUUCACAACGUUUAGUCUUCUCAUCCAAUCGAACUCAAUUGCAUGUUCCUCACUGCUUAUAAUCUUUCUCAAGCUUCCUCUUUCAAUGAACUCAUAAACCAAAAAAGAAUGCUUUGCAUGUGAGCAAAAUCCAUACAUUUUCACAAUAUUUCGAUGUCGAAUAUUUUCCAACACACAAACUUCCUUUUCAAAAGCUUUAAAAUCGGACACCUUUUCUGUUUGUGACCGAUGAAAUUUCUUCACAGCAACCACCUGUUCUGUUGGCAUCACUGCUUUAUAAACAGUUCCAUAUCCUCCUUCGCCAAUGCAGUAGUUGGAGUUGAAUUCCUCUGUAGCUUCAAUGAUAUUCUCAUACAACUUCUUCCCAUCAUGGCCCAAUAUCGUGAAUAUGUUUCGAUCUUGUUCAUUUUCUGGCUCAGCGUUUCUCUUCCUAGCUCUUUUGCAGAGAAUGGAUAAAGCUCCAAUCACAACAAACACUAAAAGCAAGCUUCCUAAAAGAGGGAGUACAAUCAAAAGCACAAGCUUGUUGCUUUUUGGGAGAUUGCAUGGCUUGAGACCACUGGCGUUGCCACAUAUACCCAUAUUAUCCCUUAAUGCCUCAAAUGAAGCGUUGUGGAAGGCUUUGAUAUCGGGAAUGGGGCCUUGUAGCUUAUUGGAUGAGAUAUCCACAGUUGUUAAGCUUAACAUGUCUUUGAAAGUGCUCGGAAUCCGUCCAGAAAGCAUGUUGUGAGAGACAUUCAGAGUUUCCAACCGUUGCAGUUGCCCAAGUUGCCUCGGUAUCUCUCGAGUCAGGAAAUUGCAGCUAAGAUCAAGAUCUCGAAGAGUAAGUAGAAAGCCUAUCUCGCCUGGAAUGCUUUCUCUAAAUUUAUUACCGCUGAGGUUCAACAACAAUAAAUUCGAGCAUUCCCCAAGUUGUUUUGGAAUCAAUCCACUCAGAUUAUUAGAUGCUAAAUUAAGGAAUUGAAGAUUGGAAAGCAUGUUAAUAUCUAAGGGAAUGGCACCUGAAAGAUGGUUGUUGCUAAGAACAAGCUUGUACAACAACUUCAAACACCCUAAAUCUUUUGGGAUGGCUCCUUUUAACUGAUUUGAGGACAGAUCUAUCAAGUGCAAUUGAGUAGCCUUCCCAAGCUCUAGUGGUAUCUCACCAGAAACAUUAUUGUUUGAGAUUUUAAGGCUGGUUAUGUUACGACAAUCUCCCCAUUUCGAAGAAAGCUCACCAUAAAAAUUAUUGUAACUCAAAUCAAUAAAAUCCAAAUGUUAAUGGACACCAAAAACCUCAUAAAUAUUUCCUGUUAAUUGAUUCGAAUCAAGUCUUACUCGGUGUAAAUGAGUACAGUUUUUCAAGCUUUCCGGGAUUGAACCUAAGAAGUAGUUGUAGGAAGCAGUAAAGUUUUCCAAUACUCCUCCAUGGCAUAAAUCUAGUGGCAAAUGACCCGUGAAUUCGUUGAUACCCAAAGACAAAUACUUCAAAUGGGUGAGAUUGUUCAUCUACGAGGGCAAUGGGCCGUGAAAUUUGUUGUCAAGUAAUAUCAAGAUCUCAAGCGAUUUAAGUUGUCCUAUUUAUGAAAGAACAUAGAUUAGAUCCAUAGAGCAUUGUCAAGUUUCCAAUAAAAGAAGGGAUGAUCCCAGUGAGAUUAUUUUCAGAUAGGUCUAAAACAAUAAGCAUGGUCAUGUUUCUAAUAGAAAAAGGGAUGGAACCAGAGAGUUGUUUUUUUCUAGUUCUUCAUGUUAUCUUUAGACUUGAUAAGUCAAUAAGAUCAAAUUAAAUCAAUUUCUAUAUAAUUGUUUUUCUUGAAAAUAUGUUAAUAAUACUUAUAUAUUUUCUUAAACAUGUAAAAAAAAAUAAUUCGACCUAAAGUAUAGAUCAUGUAAAUAACCUUGUUUUUUCUAAUAGCAAUCGACCUGAACUUUUCUAGUUUUUUAUUCUCAAAAAAUAUUCCACUUCUCUUAUUUUUUUUUCUUUAAACAAUGAAAAAUCCCAGACAGGCAUGGCUACCUUUUCUAUGGAGCCAACGAACUCAUAAUUGAUCGAGGAAGCCCUGUGUACGAUGUGACCUUGUGAAGUAAUAUAGAGUAUGAAUGACUUUAGUUAAAGACGGUAUGGUGACGAAUAAAAUAAUAAUAAUAGAAGAAAAUAAUAUACUUGGCUGUAUAUAUAUAUAUAUAUUUUUUUUUAUCACAACAUGAAUUCUCUCGUUCACUCCUUUGCAAUACAGUUUGUUAUAUUAUUAUCAUGUAUGAACCUAAUAAAUUAAUCACAUUAUAACUUAGGCCUUGUUUGUUUGCUGGAAAGUAGUUUUCUUUUAAAAAGUAAAUUUCAGGAAAGUGAAUUAUUUUUCGAUGUUUGGUAAUGUAAUGAAAAAUAAGUUGGAAAAUACUUUCUAGUGUUUAGUUAUAUCAUGGAAAAUGAGCUGGAAAAUAACUUAUUAAUGUUUUAUUUUUUUCAAGUUUAUUAAAAUAAUGAGAAAACAAAUCUUACAAAUUAAAAAGUUGAAUGAGAAUGAAAUUGAAAAAAAUAAUAUAAUUUCAUAAAUUAUCUCAAAUAAAAUAAAUAAUAAUCAAAAUAAUAGAGAUCAAAUGUAAAAAAUAAAAAAGUUGAAAGAUGAAGAAAUUAAAAUAAUAAUAAUUAACAUUUUAUAAAUAAUUUUAAAUAAAAUAAGUAACAAUCAAAAGAAUGAGGAUCAAAUUUGAUAGAUACAAAAUUUCAAUUAAAAAAUGAUAAGGAAAAAGAAAAUAACAAUUAUAAAAAUGAGGACCAAAAUUAAUAUAAAAAUUAAAUUCUAAGGGAUGAAAUUGAAAAAUAAAUAUUCAAAACAAAAUAUAUAUAGCACUCAAAAGUUUGAGGACCAAAUUUGAUAUAAUCAGCAAAUAAUAUGACAUUUCUAAAUUUUUCACAACUUCCGGAAAGUGUUUUCCGCCCAAAAUAAAAGGAAAACACUUUCCUGGAAAUCAAGCCAAAUAUUUCUUUGAAUGGAAAGUGUUUUUCGUUGACCGGAAAAUAUUUUUUGUUGACCAACUUUCCUAAUAGCAAAUAAACAGAGGAAAGUUUGGAAAGUAGUUUUCCGGAAACCACUCUCCGAAAAAUAAACACAGCCUUAAUCUCUUAUUGUAUGUUUGUUCUAUUUAUUCAUUGAGUUGUGAAAAACUCAUCAUUUUAUCAUUUCAAUCUUUUCAACUAUAUAUAUAGUGUGUGUAUUAGCUGAUCCGAUGCAAGUUAUUAAGAGUAGGUUUCUGUCUAUACUCUAAGCUGAUAUACCCAACACUCUUUCAUGCGGGCUGUGACAUGUAUAUAUGAUUUUUAGGUCAGUUUUUUUUUAUUAUUAUUAUUUUAUUUAGUUCUAAUAAAAUUUAUUAUGUUUAGGAAUAAAAUAGUGUCUUGACCUAUUAAAAUCGUGAUAUCAAGUGUUAGGAUCUGUUUUGAAGUAUAGUUGAUGUUGCAUUUUAAAAUGUUUUUCAUUUAAAAAUGUUUUAAAAUAAUAUUUGUUUAAUUUUUAAAAAUUAUUUUUGAUAUCAAUAUAUUAAAAUAACAAAAAAACAUAUAAAAAAAAUUAAUUUAAAAUAAAUAAAAAGUAAAAAAAAUUGCAAAAACAAACACCUAAACAUAAACAUAUGACAGAGGAUUCUGGACCCGGUGGCACCUCAAGCUCUGCAGGGGAGGAUGAGGCACGGGCUUCCAUGAGCUCAUGUCCACAGAAACACUACGUGCAAAUUGCUCUACGAGAAAGUGGUCUCCAUAUGAUAUGGACAUUUCACGAAUGAUAGAUGGCAUGAGAAUGAGGUUUCUUGAAGGCAUAAAUCUUUGACAAUUCUGUUUAAAGAAGAGAUCUUUGUUCAGCACAGACAUUGGAAUGGGAGAUUGCAAAACAGAGCUAGUUGUAAAGAAGAUUAUUGCGAUGUGUUUCUAUACAAAACGGAAAAAGAAGAAAUAUUGACGAUCCAGUUCUUUGAACAAAAGUAGACAAAGAAAGAUGGUGCAAAGAUUGAAUGGGGUGUCUAAUAUCUGCCAUUGGAGACUAAGGAGAAGAGGACCUAGCUUUUCUUAGCUUUGUCCUGUCAUUUUUGUUUAACCUACGCAUCGAGUAUACAUAAUGGCUAAAUGAGCUAAUCUACAACGAAUUCCUCGUUAAAUUACUCUCUGUAACUGACAGAGGGCUAAAAAAAUGGCAUUCUUCAUAUAUACACCAAUAAAAAAAAAUGAUACACGACUAUGCAACCUCUGGUUAGACAAUCUAUGACGGACCGGGGAGACGCCCUCCCCUAUGGAGAUGAAACAACAGCUGCCUGUUGGAAGUGAUGACAUAGCCAGAAGACUGCUUCGCUGCAAUUCCAUUCUGAGGUUUGGUGUUCAAAGAAAAGAAUGAUUAUCACACGGAAAUUCCUGCUGUAUUUUCCUUCAGUCUCCUCUCAGCUGCUAGAGCAGCAGCCACAGACGGGGGCAGAUGUCUUAGGUUUUCAGUUGGCUUUCCAUCACUUUCUGGUACACUGGACGGCACUGUUG